UCUCCUCCUCCUUGUUGAUCGAUUCAGUGAACUUUUUCAAUUAGAGGAUGUUGCUUCUCGAGUUUAUUUUAGACGUUAGGCAUGUCACCAACUAACGAUAGGUAAUCAACUAGAGGUCAGUCAUCGGUGUCAUCCUUUUAAAGAUUUUCAUUUUAGGAUCGCCGAAUUGUUUUGAUCAGAUAUUCCAUUCCAGUUGAGUUGAGGAUGACUGGAGGAUUGAGAAUUAAUCCUGUUGGAUUGAUCAAUUGACAUGAUGAUAUACAUAACCUAACCAAAUAGAUAGGCAAUUUUGGCGGCUAACUUUUAAUAACACGAUGUGGUUAGUUCAACAACCGGAUAGAGAUGGGAUUAGGAGACGUUAUCCCUUCUGCUCAUCUGUUUCUAGAAAAAAAAAAUGAAGGGUCAAAAUUCAACUCCGAGAAGCAACCAAGCCUGCAACUGUCCCAACUUUUGUGACAUGCAGUUGCUCAAGUUGCUCAACCAGUACACACAAUUUUCUUUUUCAUAGUUGAUCACGAAACAACUACUUGUUUGGUUUAAUUUGAUUCGAGAUUAUCCUUAAUCUGCACCAAACUAAUCAACGCAUGGUCGUACGUACAGAUCCAUGGCAUCCUGAACGCGGUGAGCUGGGGCAUCCUGAUCCCGAUGGGCGCCAUGAUCGCGCGCUACCUCCGCGUGUUCGAGGCCGCCGACCCGGCAUGGUUCUACCUCCACAUCACCUGCCAGCUCUCCGGCUACAUCCUCGGCGUCGCCGGCUGGGCCCUCGGCCUCAAGCUCGGCAGCGAGUCCAAGGGCAUCACCUACAGCGCCCACCGCAACAUCGGCAUCGCCAUCUUCUGCCUCGCCACGCUCCAGGUGUUCGCGCUGCUGCUGAGGCCCGACAAGAAGAACAAGUACAGGUUCUACUGGAACAUCUACCACCACUCCGUCGGCUACUCCGCCAUCGUCCUCGCCGCCGUCAACAUCUUCAAGGGCCUCGACAUCCUCAAGCCGGCCAGCGGCUGGAAGAGGAGCUACAUUGCCAUCCUCGCCACGCUCGCCGGCGUCGCGCUCCUGCUCGAGGCCAUCACCUGGGUCAUCGUCCUCCGGCGGAAGAAGAGCGACAAGUCGUCGUCGCCGUACGGCGCCACCAACGGCAACGGGCGCGCGUAGUUUGAUCAGCAUCUGAUCGACGUGUGCCUUGCGCUACGGCCUACGGGUGUGUAGUUUUGCUGCGAUGUGUGUGUGUAUUUGUCUUCUGCUAGCUGUGUAUCUUCCAUUUUUUGUUACUGCUUCUGUAGACUACGUAGAGGUUCAGAGAUUAUUUCUUUUCCUUUUUUUUUUUACAUUUUCAGGUCUCACGAUGACACAUUUGUAUACAUUUUUUUUCACCUUGAUGUAUGAUUACCUUUAUUUAUGCAUACGUUUGAUUACGAUUAGAUGGCACCUCCCUCAUGAGAAUCUCUGAAAGUUCAUUGGUUGAGACGUUGAGUGGGUAUACAAGUAGUACAAAUUUUGCUGAUAUAUACAUUUUACUGUUUUUGUCACUAGCGAAGGAAGUUUCCGGCUAGAACGAUUCAACCAUUGGAUAACGUCAUUUGCAAGCACUUAGGUGAAAACAACAUGUGGAUGUUUUCUAGUAGAGGGAUAUAUACCAUCAUGAAAAGAAAACUAGUAUUUAUGUCCGGUCUCAAUAUAUACCUCCACUUGACAGCAUCGUAGCCUAAAGGAAGACGAGAAAGCAAUGGUUAGGUAUGUAACGGGGGCAAUUUGGCCUGUCACCGUAUGACAAUGGGCCUGUUUGAUAAGAAAAGGCGACAGUGUGAAAACAUAAUGGCAUUAUUAAGACAUUUGAUGUGAUAUAACUAAACUGGAUGAUACAGUACAUAGGCAGAUCAAUACAAACAUUGGAUGAAUUCUGAUUAACUUCACAAGAAUCAAUCCAUUUCCUACGGAGAUUCACAAAAUUGUUGCUUUUCCGAACUUUGCCUUUGUACUAUCUUCUUUGUAUCUUUGCCCGUGAUGUAAGCUUGCACUGCUUUGCAGAUACGGCAGUUCAGCCGCUCGAUUAGAUUACUCAAAGAAAAUCCUGAAAAUGAUGCCGAUUUCGAUGACUAAAAAAAACUGUCACGACACGGAGAACACCUUCUUUUGUUUUCCUAAUCAUCUGAUGAGAAAAAGAACUAGUAGUACUAUAUUGGGCCCCCUGGGGUGACAGGGUCAGUUUGCUAGAUUGACACGCAAAAACGAGUGAAGAAUCCGGCCAUGCAUCUCGGUCCAAAGCGCGCACGCAAGCGUGAUGCUCACAUGACGUCCAUGGGCCUUCUGGAGGGUGACUCGCCCUAGGCGAUUUUGUGGUCCAUUAGAAGGUCCAGCCUGUGAAUCAACGACUCAGAGAUGGGCCUACCUGCCCAAGCAGCCCAGCGCCGUGCGGUGCGGGUGCGGGCAUACCUAGCUCGGCAGGGCGGCGGGGAGACCCCCGAGGGCUUAACCGUAAGCCCAUGUAGGGCAGCGAGCCGAACUGGACUGGACUGAUGGAGAUAUGGGAGUGAGCACUGUGGCGGUGGCCUGGUGGAGCGUGGGGCACUGGGGAGUACGCGGCCUAGCGGGGAUGGAGAUUAGGCGGGCCUUGAGCAUUGGCAUUGGUGUGGCCCAACUGCGUGGCCCGCGGCCAUGGCUGGGUAUGAGGCUGGCUGCGGCCUGCAGCUGGACUGCCACUAGCCUACUACUAUGGCGUGCGCGGCUCCGCGUGCUAUCCGGACUUUGAUGAGUAAUAAAUUUCAUAUUAUAAAUCGUUUGAUUUUUUUUUAUUUUUAAUCAAGUUUAUAAUAGUAGUAUUUUUAAAUCACAACAAACAUAUUAUUAAAAUAUAUUCAAUGUUAGAUUUAAUGAAACUAAUUUGAUAUUUUAGAUGUUGCUAAUUUUUUCUAUAAACUUAAUCAAACAACUUAUAAUAUGAAACGAAGAGAGUAGCAAAAUAGUUGUGUUUCGUUGCGUAUAGAAGGAAAUAUAUUGUAAUAUAUUAUAGAUGAAAUAUAUUAAUUUUAUCAAAUAUGGUAGUAUAACUUAUAUAUUUAUUCGAAUAUAUGGUAUUCAUUUAUUUGAAACAAAUGUUGACUAUUCCAUAAUAUCAGAAAUAUAAGAGCUAUUCUAAAUAAAUUAUAAAAGGUAGUUUGGGGGGGGGGGUAGGUUUACUGCCACCACCACUAGAGGCUUAAUGAGUACUAUAAAACAUAUAGUUUUGUGAUACAUCAUAUUAAAUCUAUAUGUUUAUGACAAUUUAGUCUUUUAUAAUUUGACCGUUGAAAAUAUUAUUCUAGUAUGGCUCUUUUUAUCGGAGUACCGAGGUUCAACAUCUCGCCCGCCAAUAACACUGGUAUAUACCCUAGUCCCUCGCCACCAAUAACACUGGCACAUACUGUAGCCCCCUGUGCAGUGGUAGCUAAGUCACUGAUACGUAGGAUAUCGAUGCUAAUGGUACCAAUAACCUAUUUUUAAAAAAAAUAUAUAAAAAGGGUCAAAUGUAAUUUUUUUAUUACAAAUAGGUUGUCGGUGUCGGUUUCUUGGGCACCAACCCCUCCACAUCUCGGCUGCUAAGGGUGAGGGUUGUCAUUGGCAUCAAGAAAAAGAUAUAUUUUUUAAAGGAAGUUUUAAAAGGCUAAAAUGUAGAAAAUAAAGUCCAGCCCCAGUUAAAGUUCUGGUCUGGAAGAGCUAACUUGUUGAAGGGUGAAUUCCUAGUGAACGAUGGAACGAACUGUUCAACCGUUCAAGUCCGUAGCCCAUCCUCGACGUUUGAGAAAGUUCGAUUCAAUUCAUUCUUCGAUCUUCUCUUCCGGCCUAGUACUAAUUCAAAUUUUCGAUUGAAAUGUCAGCACGAUUUUUCUAGUACUCCAUCCGUUUCACAAUAUAAGUCAUUCUAUCAUUUCCUAUAUCUAUACACAUAUAUCUAUAUAUAUUCAUUAACAUCAAUAUAAAUAUGGGAAAUACUAGAAUAACUUUUUUUAAGAAAAUGCUAGAAUGACUUACAUCAUGUGAAACGGAGGAGAUGUAAUGAAACAGAGGGAGUAGGAUUUUGGUUCAACUUACACAACCAUCUACCAUACCACUACCGGUCUACCGCUAGCCCCAUCUAUUCGCCACCAGAACGUCUCUUUCUCCCCGCGACGUUCAAACACAACACCCAAUUCCCAUUUAGAGCUCACACAUGCUGGUAGCACGAGCUAGCUGCGCUGUGGCCGUGAAAGACCGACCGCGACCGCGAACCAACGGCGGUCGGCGCGUUUUCCAGAUGGAGCACGCACGCGCGCGCGCAACCGAGCGGGAUUUCCUCGACAUUCCACGGGUUGCCAACCGCCACCGCACCGCACCGCACGCAUCAUCGCGCAGCAGUUGCGCCGGCCUUUCGCGGCGUUUGCUCCUGCACAGAUACCAUACACCGCGCCGCGCGCGCGCAUGUGGGGGUUUUCUCCGGUGGUCUCGAAUCGAUCGAACGAACGCUGCUCCCCCGGGCGCGUUCCAAUUGCGGAGAAACAUGCAUGCUGCUUUGGCUGCUUUGCCGCAUUGACCACGACUUGACAAGGACUCGGAUAUACGGAGCACCCACAUUUCGCGCGGCGCGUGGUGGGUCUCUCGUCUCGCGUCUCCCCUCCCGUCCUUGUCGCCUCUUUUUCUCCUAGGCCGAGCGAUCGGCACGCGGCACCGCGGAGACGGAGAAUCCAGCUGGGGAAAAAGUUAGGCUGUCUUUAGAGGAUAUAAAGUCUCGCCGUGUCACAUCGGAUAUUAUAUAUGGUAUCGUAUGGGUGUUCAGGCACUAAUAAAAAAAACUAAUUACAUAAUCCGUUAAUAAACCACGAGUUGAAUUUAUUAAGUCAUCCGUUAAUAAACCACGAGUUGAAUUUAUUAAGUCUAAUUAAUCCAUCAUUAGUAAAUGUUUAUUGUAGCACCACAUUGUCAAAUCAUGGAGUAAUUAGACUUCAAAGAUUCGUCUUGCAAAUUAGUCGCAAUGUAUGCAAUUAGUUAUUUUUUAGCGUAUAUUUAAUACCUCAUAUACUACUUCAUACAUGUGUUCAAACGUUCGAUGUGAGAGGGUGUAAAAUUUUGGUGUGGGAUCCUUGAUCCAAGUGGAACAGGGCACAUCAUCAUAUUACAUGGAAACGGCCAAUAGAGAGAGGAAACUAAUCCUGGCUAGUCAAACAGAUAUCCACACUGCGUUUAGAUCGAUUCGACCGUCACCGUCGCCUCGCUCGUCAGCUUAAUAUAAUUCCACACGAGCCUUUUGCUUUCGUUAACAGUUCACUCCAGUCACGACUCCUGAAGAAAAACUAACGGUCGCUUGCUUGGCUCUUGGCCGCUGCCCGAUGUGUCCCGUCGAGGAACUCGUCAGAAAACCAAUAGCUAGGCUGGAGUGCUUGUCCUCGAAUCCUCGAUCGAUCUAUCUAUAUCUCAGCAACGUGUUCUCCUUUUCCCGUUCGUUGGUUAGUCCUGGUGAAGCUGUACGUACGAUGGGACUCGCGUUUCGUUCUCCAAAGCGAGCAAGAGACAAGAAUUUUUCUUCUUCUUUCUUUGCUGAAUUCCCGUAUAUAUAUUCACGAUGCUAUGCUCGCACGAUGUAAUGCAUUCUGCUUCAUGUGCAGCACGGUGUUUGCAUGGUUUGCAAACGUAUAGCAGAGUAUACGUGUUGUGGUCUUGUGGAGUUGCGUAAGAACAAGCAGUACCAGCUCUGAUGGAAGUACCACGAUUGGAUUGAAAUGGGCAAGAAGCUCACUUGGACGACAACCUGCCGAAAGAAUCCAGCUAGCAACUUGGACCACAAUCUCACUAGCUAUCAUUAUAUAUUAUUAUCAAGAAACACUGGGAUCUUCCGGCUAGCUUUUCAUAAGGUAAUGGACUAUGACCUGAGUUCGAAGCCUCACCCCAUCUUAAUAUAGUAACUUUUAAUUAUAAAUUUGGAUACAACAGUUGUAUAGUAAAUAUAUUAGGUUGUUAAACGACGAGGAUAUCAUCGUAUUACGCGCAUGCUGCAUUUUAAGACUAAGGGAGUAAUAAUUUAUCAUCGUAUGACGCGCAUGCGCAUGCACUGCUAGCUUGCCACAUUUCACAGAACUUCUUCCUAUACCUUUCUUACGUAUUCAGAAAUCUAAAAAGGAUAUCACAGAACAGCUCAUCAGGUUAACUGUGAUGAUUUUGCAAGGAAGCUCAUGAGCUAGCUAGCCUGAAUGUUCAUACACAUUUCGGAGAUAUUUCCCACGUACUUUAUCGUUGUGGCCAUUGCUAUCACUUGAACUACUCCAUUUCGAUCUUGUAUUCUUCUCGCUCACACACAUGCUCAGUACGUACUAGGAGUACAUCUUUUUAACAAAAAAAAGUUAUAGUAUGAAAGUAACAAUAUGACUAAUGAUCAUUAAUUUCACGUUUAAAAUGGGUGAGAAAACUAUAGACAAAUAAUUUACAUAGAAGGUGACACUUUGACUGAAUUUACUAAUGCUUGUCACACACUUACAAUUAGUCAACUAUUAAUUAAUCUAUAAAGAGCCCGAUAGAAUCCGAGCCAUGAGCCGCGUACGUAGUUUUUGUAUACUCCACUCCACUCGUCCUCCCAAUAGAAUCGAUGCACGUCUCUCGCAUAUUUCUCCAAAUAAACUUUUUACAAAUGAAAUUACGUACGUACCAAACAUGCAUUAUCCUGCAAUAAUUUUUAUGUCGUACGUCCUGUUUGAAAGGCAACCUAAACCUCUCGCGUAGACUUCCAUUGAUACCGCCAAAUUGGAAGAUGUGGACCCUGUCGAGAGAGUGGAGAGUUAACAUGUCGCGUGGAGGAAAUCCUGGUGCUGCAUACGUCGACAAAUGUGAGAUCAAGCAAUAUUUAGGGACAUGCAAAUAGAGUUGAAACUGGUUCGGAUAGUUUCCAUCUGUCCGGACCAUUUUUCGGAUUCGGAUACAUUCGGUCGGAACUAUCCGAAAAUUCUCGGAUUCGGAAACAAAUUCGGAUUUUUUUUCUUGGAAACGAAAAUGAAUACAGUAAGGAUACUAUCCGUCAGAAUCGGAAAACGGUCGGAAACUAUCCGGAAUUUUUUUCGGAUAUCCGCAGACAUUGAGCAAAUUUUAGAAAAAAACACGUAUAUAUACAUAACUUUUUCAUACGGAAUCAGAUGAAGACAAACUUUAUAUCAACAUUGUAGAGAUCAAUGAGAUCUACAACUUUCUUAUUGACUAUUUUAUUAUUUGAGGUCAUUUAAGGGUCUAAAUAUUCAUUAUAAUAUACCAUAUUAAUUUUUACAAAAUUUCAGAUCUACAAUUCAAACGACAUCUGAUGGAGAUGUGUUCCAUAUCAAAGUUGUAGAGCUCAACGGGAUCUACCACUUUGUAGUUUAUAACAUUUGUAUUUGAAAGCAUUUAAAGUAUAAAACAAAUAUUACAAGUUUCGAAGAUGUGAAGUAAAAUAAAUAACAUCUCCAAUAGAAUCCGAGCCUUGAGCCGCGUACGUAGUUUUUGUAUACUCCACUCCACUCGUCCUCCCAAUAGAAUCGAUGCACGUCUCUCGCAUAUUUCUCCAAAUAAACUUUUUACAAAUGAAAUUAUGUACGUACCAAACAUGCAUUAUCCUGCAAUAAUUUUUAUGUCGUACGUCCUGUUUGAAAGGCAACCUAAACCUCUCACGUAGACUUCCAUUGAUACCGCCAAAUUGUAAGAUGUGGACCUUAUCGAGAGAGUGGAGAGUUAACAUGUCGCGUGGAGGAAAUCCUGGUGCUGCAUACGUCGACAAAUGUGAGAUCAAGCAAUAUUUAGGGACAUGCAAAUAGAGUUGAAACUGGUUCAGAUAGUUUCCAUCUGUCCGGACUAUUUUUCGGAUUCAGAUACUUUCGGUCGGAACUAUCCGAAAAUUCUCGGAUUCGGAAACGAAUUGGGAUUUUUUUCUUGGAAAUGAAAACGAAUACAGUAAGGGUACUAUCCGUCGGAAUCGGAAAACGGUCGGAAACUAUCUGGAUUUUUUUUCGGAUAUCCGCAGACAUUGAGCAAAUUUUAGAAAAAAACACGUAUAUAUACAUAACUUUUUCAUACGGAAUCAGAUGAAGACAAACUUUAUAUCAACAUUGUAGAGCUCAAUGAGAUCUACAACUUUCUUAUUGACUAUUUUAUUAUUUGAGGUCAUUUAAGGGUCUAAAUAUUCAUUAUAAUAUAUCAUAUUAAUUUUUACAAAAUUUCAGAUCUACAAUUCAAACGACAUCUGAUGGAGAUGUGUUCCAUAUCAAAGUUGUAGAGCUCAACGGGAUCUACCACUUUGUAGUUUAUAACAUUUGUAUUUGAAAGCAUUUAAAGUAUAAAACAAACAUUACAAGUUUCGAAGAUGUGAAGUAAAAUAAAUAACAUCUCCAAUUUAUACAAUGGUAAGUAUAAGUUAUACAUCUACUAAAAGAUCUUGGGAAUAAAAAAGAUAAUCAUAUUUGCAUAUGGAUCUCUUAGAGGAACAGCCAUGAAAAUCGAUUUUAACGUACGGUUGUGGGACUAUUUACAAAAUUGACGAUAUAAAUGUUAGAGAUGUUGAACUAAAAUAAUAAGCGAUAUCUCUUCCUUAUCAAGAAACUCAAUUUGAGGGGUUUAUUAUAUACCGGUAAAUAUUCGCUACCGUAUUCGGUCCGUCUCGUAUUCGCUCCAUAUCUGUAUUCGAUAAUAUUCGAUUUCAUUUCCGUAUCCGAAUUUUCGAUUCCGAAAAAAAAAAAUGAAAACGAAUAUAAUAAAGCUAGUUUUCGUCCGUUUUCGAUCCGUUUUCAUCCCUACAUGCAAAUAGUAAUAAUUAAGAAUGCAAUUAAUUACUUUAUCCGUCUUAUAAAGAAUUAAUUCCUGACAAUGUUCAUGUUCAGAUUUAGCUACGAGUUGAUAUUUUAUAAAACGAAAAGAGUAGAAAACGGUUAGCCCAUCUCCUGACAACUCAGCAUGUAGUGUAGGGCUUGAGAGAGCCUAGUAGUAGAAGAGAAAUCUCAGGCAUCUAAUUAACUGCAAUUAAUGUUAUUUAUCGAUUUCGUUAGCGUGGAUGAUCUGAGGGUUCCAAUGGCAGAGAUGUCUCAGAUUAAUUAGCAUAAACUGGGAUUAGAGAAAUAACAUUAAUUGCAGUUAGCGUGGAUGAUCUAUAUAGUUAUAUAGGAUUUCUAACUUGCAAAAUAUCCCUGGCAUGUGUGACUUAGCAUCACUCGGUGAUCUUUGAAUAAUGUACAUAUAUCUACUCCUGCUGGACCUAUUUAGGAAAAUGGUAGAAGAUGACCAAGCAGGAAUUCAAUCAAACACGGCCAGACGAAAUCUCAAGGCAAGUCGAAUGCAUCUUAGAUUCAUCAUGAUAGGCCGUGUUUAGUUGUUUGGCCAAAUUUUUUUUACGUGUACGGACACACAUUUAAAGUAUUAAACGUAGACUAAUAACAAAACAAAUUAAAGAUUCUGUCCGUACUGCGAGACGAAUCUAUUAAGCCUAAUUAAUUCGUCAUUAGCAAAUAUUUAAUGUAAAACCACAUUAUCAAAUCAUGGCGUAAUUAGGCUCAAAAGAUUCGUCUCGCAAUUUACAUGCAAACUGUCCAAUUGGUUUUUUCGUCCAUAUUUAAUAUUUCAUGCUUAUGUCUAAAUAUUUGAUGUGACGAAUUUUUUGGAAGUUUGUAGGGAACCAAACACUGCCAUAAUCGUAAGACUUUUCUCUGGUUCUCAAGGAUGCGUCCCUUGAUUUUUUUUCUUUGGGAAAAUUAAUUAUUCGCGUCAACUCAUUUGCUGUAUUUGCAUCCAGCAUCCUAGAGAUAUUGUUCUUUUUGAGGUUAGGUUAGGACUACUGGUAAUAAAUACAGCAUUGGCAUUUGUCGUUUCUGUUGAAAAUUUUCUUAGUGACAGAAAUGGGAACUAGCUAGCUAACUUCUGCAGGGAUAUACUAGUAACUAAUAUAAGUGAAGAAAUUAGGGAGCUGAUAAAUUGAUCAGUUCUGCCACUAAAAAAUACAAGCACAGAUGCUAGUCUACCGCUCCCUUUUUCACAAUGGCAUGCGGUAACUCUGUUUUUACAUAAUAGAAUCAAGAGAAAUUUGCCCCUUUAAAUUGCAGUAAUGAAAAAAAAAGUAGAAAUAAGGAAAAUACAGGGUUCUGACAUAAAUACAAGUGUAGAACAGAUGAUUGUAAAACAUAGAAAUGACCGUUUGAUUGAACCACAUGAAAAACAUAGGAAUUGGAUGAGAGAAGACAGAAAUGAAGUUUUUCAAGAGAUUGGAACUCUUGCUAAGAUUCCUCUAAAAUCUCUAUAGUAUUGUCUAUUGCAUAGGAAUUUCAAAUGAUAAAAUAUGAUUCAUUCUUUCGUUUCAAAGGUUUUCAUAUGAAAAUUUUCUAUAGGAUUGAGACCCUCAAAAUUCCUUUGUUUUUACUUAAAAAUCAAAGGUCCUUAGAGUCCUUAAGAAAGUAUCUCGAUAUCUAAAUUUUACGCUAAACAUUUUGGUACUCGGAGGUACCAGGUUUUAUACCAGAAUCUCUUGAUACUUUAUCAAGAAUGGUAAGAUUACCAUAGAAACAAACUACUGGUCUGAUGGUGGCCUGGCUAUAUGAUUUCUUACUAGGACUGUUCAACAAAUCUAGUUUAGUACGGUAAGAACUCAUUGGAAGACUUUGUCAAGGCCUCAUCAUUCAGUGGUCAGCAAAGAAAACUUCUUUGGAGAACACAUGCUAACCAAUUAAGCACACAAGUAAGCCAUGAAUGGCAGUGAAAAAUCCCAUCCAGAAUUAUUCAGGCAUUUGUCUGGAAAAGUUGCAAACGAAUGACUUCUGCGAAAGGGGAUCGCAUUGUCACCAGAAAAGUGGCUAUCCUGUGCAGUGCAUCUAGCUAUUAAUCCUGCUUAUGAUUGAGGCACGAAACCAUCUAUUCAGAAUUUCCAUGGUUAGUCCUCCGUGUAACAUCAUUCGUUCCAAUUAUCUGAAUCAAAUAAAUCGCGUGAUAACUUACUACUCUCUCCGUUUUGGUUAUAAAAUGUUUUGACUUUUGGUUAAAGUCAAACUCUAUAGUAAUAUUUACAUUACUAAAUUAGUUUUAUUAAAUUAAUAAUUAAAUAUAUUUUUAUAAUAAAUUUAUCUUGGAUCAAAAAAAAUAUUACUAUUUUUUCUAUAAAUUUAGUUAAACUUAAAAUAGUUUGACUUUGACCAAAGCCAAAACAUGUUGAAACCUGAAAUGAAGGGAAUAUAUAUUUUCUUCCUAUACAGUUAUUAGAACUACUAGAUCUCCUGCCCAACAUGUUCUUAUUCUUUUACCUCCAGCCAAGAAGAUAUCAUAUCAGCAUCUGAAUUAUCACCAAUUUAGUUCUAGAUGCAUGGUUUGAUGAAGACCGACAUGGCAACAGGACAAUGCAUGCAAGCCCUUCCCAUGGAAGUAUGGAACAGUUGGUGUGCAUAUGAUCAAUGCAGGUGUAAACGCAAAAAACCAGGAAUGCAUCAUGCAUGCAUGUUCAAAGGGACAAACAUUGCGUAGCCAAAGACUGCCUAAGCAACUAGGGGAAUCUGUUUGAACUCGCAUCGCAGUCUGCUCCCGACCACGGAAAACAUUUUUCAAAGUGGACCAUUUGGGGUGGCAAACUUAUACUUCUUUUUUUCUCUGUAGAAUUUGCAAACUACUUUUCCAGACCAGCUAACUUUGCUGGGCUCUAUGGAUCGACUAUGGAUCCUGCAGCAUUGAUCACUUUGUCACGAGUCAUGACACCUCCGUUUAUGCUCCAACACUAUAAAUACGUCGGGUAGCUCACCCUUUCACCUGCAACUCUGCAAUAGCUAGCUUGCAACCUCGCAUUCUCGCUUCAGGACCUUUGCUCUCUGACAAACCUAAGCUCGAUCAUGCCUGUCAAUAUGAUCUCCAAGUACGGCAUACAUGUUGCAUAUAUUUGAUCGAUGCAUAUGAACAGUAGCAGUAUAUAGCCUGUAGUGAUUUCAAGUCAUUUCAGUUAGUCUUUCCCUGAAUUUGUUUGAUUCCUGCAUCUGUAGGUUACUUGAGAAGGCUGUUCUUCCAGCACUGGAUGUUGCACCUCCUGUAAAAAUAGGAGGUAGAUUUAUCAUACUAUGGUUCUUCUUAAUUUGUUGUUUGUAGCAUUCUUGCCAUCUCAUGGCACGUUUAACUUACUUUUGCAUGCGUGUUACUACUACAAAAUUCAGGGCCUCGGCGUACGAGCGUGCUGCGCAAUCCAAACAUGGAGAAGCUUCAGAAGGGGUACUUAUUCCCAGAGGUACAGAAUUAAUCACGAUUUCACCAACCUUAGUUUGAGCAUAUGAUUCUCCAGACACUUGAUGAUAAAUUGAUAAUAUACGUUAAUUUGUGCUCCUCGUUUUGAUGGUUUAGAUUAGCAUCAAACGUGAGGAACACCUGAAGAAGUACCCAGAUGCGAAGGUGAUAAGUUUGGGUAUCGGCGACACAACUGAACCCAUACCAAGCAUCGUAACAUCAGCUAUGGCUGAGGUAUUUAUUUACUCUACUUCUGUAGUUCUGUUUUCUCUCUUGCAUUGGAGCAUGCAUGCAUGUUUUUCCUUUUCUGAAAAAGGAGAAGCAUGUGUAAAAAUGUUUAACCAAGGAAAGCUACAUGAGGAAUCUCAAGCAACAAAUAGCUGGUCAUCUGGUUCUUAAUGGCGUAGCUAGCUAGAUGGCACUGUGGUCUAUGGACCACCUAAAAAUUUGAUCAAGAUUAAAACUAUAAUAUAUGUGCUAGUUAUUAAUAUAAUAAAAAUUGUAUAGUGGACCACCCAUUUAAUUGGCCUAUUACAUAUAGAUGGAUCACCUUUACUUUAAAUCCUAGCUACGCCACUCUUGGUUCUUGUCAUAGCACGAAUUAAGAAUUUAACAUUUGGACACAUGGUUGUUCUAUGUUUUCCCGUGGAUCAUCUUUACUCUAAAUACUAGCUACGUCAUUAUUGGUUCUUGUCAUAGCACGAAUUAAGAAUUUGACAUUUGGACACAUGGUUGUUCUAUGUUUUCCCGUCCAUCAACAUUAACCUUUUGUUGUUGUUGUUCACCAAUGCAAAGAUUCUCUACAAUCGAUCUGCUAGCUGCAACAGCAUUUUGUUAAACUGAGCACGAAUACUAAAGCAAAGCAUACCAUUUUGUGGACCUCUGCUUAGUACACCUUUCUUUUAAUAAGUACACCUUAUUAAUAUAAUAAUUAUUGUUUUAAACAAGAGUGAAGUCCACUCUUGGAUUAUGAAUCGUUUUUAAAAUAUUUAUCUUUUAAAUAUGGUGACUACAUGUACAGAUUAGUCUUAAAAAAUAUUUUAAUAAAAUAAUAUAUUUGUUAACACUUUUAUACAAAUUAUAAUGAAAAAUAAUGGUCAAAAUUAUUUUUUCAGAGACCGUGCUCUUAUCCAAACUGACAAGUAUUAUCAACCCGUAUGGAGUAUACAAAUGUAGCAAAAUGGUUAUACGUAGUGGGGCGAACUAGGGUUAAAAACCAGCCUAAUAUUAACUACUUUGUUUAAUAUUAUAUUUUUUUGUCUUAAAAUAAAUGUGCACCGAUGAGAUGGGUGCAAAUUUGCAUUAACCUAAAAUUAAGUGAAUAAAAUAAAUUACUUGGCCCAACCAAUAUUCAGUCUGUUAGCCUUCAUUUUGAUUUAUUUUUAUGACGCUACAUGCUUGCUCCACCUUUUAUAUGAGCCAACGUACUGGUCUGAAAAUUCUUAAGCUUUUUACAAAAGAGAAGCACUCAAGCAAGGGCUCACUUGCGAAGAACUGCACAAGAGGUUUCGUCCUAAAUAUAGAAGAGGAUUACGUUGUAAUAUCUCCGUCCCAUAAAAAUUGUAUUUCUAGCUCCAAGGCUUUGUCCCACAAAAAUUGUAUUUCUAGCCAUGUGGGGCCCAACCAAUUGAUUCAUCUAUAUAAGUUUCCUUCCAUCCCACAUAAUUUGGGCUGCUAAUGCUUGUAAUUUUAUUAAGUAUGCUAAUUAUAUGGGUUAAUUCUCUCAAACUUCCUUUUAAUCAUUUGUAUAUAUGGAAUAUGUGCAUGCAGUGGGUUCAUUAAAUAAGGUUAUUGUGGUCAUUUUUCAAUCCUACUAUUUUGUCCUAAAUUAGCUAGAAAUGCAAUUUUUAUAGGACGGAGGUAGUACUAAACUACUACUAAUAUAUAUUUUUUUUCAAGGAAGUGUCAAGAUUCUUCUUCUCCAUCACUUGGAAAUUUAGCUGUACCUGUCCUUUUGACUUGUCACACUCUUAUCUCAUGCCAAAUUUGUUCACUUUUUCUACCAAAAAAACACAAACUUUGCACUCUCUAUCAACCCCUUUUUCUCUUGUCAGAACCAAGAUACCCUGAUGUCACUGCAGAGACAUCACCUCAUCCACAUCAUGCAUGCCUUCCAGUUCUCCCUCUUUUCCUCAUAUACUGCCAUAAUCUCCUGCAAUUUUAGUGCAAGUGCCAAACUGCUAAUGGGAAGAUGACAAGGAGAUUAGGAGAAGAGCACUAUCAUAUCUAAUUAUUCCAUGAUCUGUACUACGUCCACUGCAUGUGCAUGGCUGCUGCUGAUUUAACUAAAUAUGUAGUGAGCUAGCUUUGGAGAAAGAUUUGUUGUAGACUAGUAUCGCAUUUGUGGAUUGACUUGCAAUUGGUGGUCAAUUAAUCCUAAUAUACAACCUAAGUGCUUUCAGAUCACUGGCUGUGACACCGGCGGUUUUCUGCUCGUGAUGCUGUUGACAUGACAAAAUGGAAAAUACAAUCCGAUGAUUGCGACUAAGGAAAAUUUUAAGCUUACUUGACUUAGGGUGGGCCUAUAGGGUAUUGGUUUAUUCCUGGAGUUAACCAAUCCUAGCCCAAAAGAAUUUAUCAGAAGAAAGCCUAAAAAGUUCAGAUUUUUUUCAGAUACAAUUUACUUGAAUAUAUUUUUCUCUUAAAUAGGAUGUUCCAUUUCCAUUUUGUAGAGUAAGAAACAUUUUAUCCUAUUUUUUGCAGUAUGCUCUUGCAUUGUCAACUCCUGAAGGAUACCAAGGUUAUGGACCAGAACAAGGCCACAAGGUAAUACAAAACACUGAAAACCCCCAACUCUGAAGAAAUCUAGGUAGAACAUGGUUUAUCAUCCUUGUUUUGAAGAACAGGUUUUCAUCCUGUUUGCAAAGAAAAUACUACAGAGAUUUCAAAGAGAUAUAACUAUGACAUUUCACUAACACAAGAUAUAUAUGCUCUUUGAAAUGCAUGUGCAGAAUCUGAGGAAGGAAAUUGCUGACAAGGUGUACCCUGACAUGGGGAUAAAAGAGAGUGAAGUUUUCAUUUCAGACGGAGCACAGUGUGACAUUGCUCGUCUUCAGGUAUUGCAAGUUAUUUCGCGUGCUUUCCUACUUACCAACUGAUCAAAUUCACUUAAUAUUCUGAGAUGUGAAAUGAUACAAAUCUCAUCUUUCAUCUUCCUUAUCUAAAAAAAAAAAUCUCACCAUUCUUUCUCCUGGAUUCAGACGCUGUUCGGUCCAAACGUCACCAUUGCCGUCCAAGAUCCCACAUUUCCGGUAUAAUAACAAACCUAUCCAUUAAUUACCUGUGUCUAAUUGCGAAUAAAUAAAUAAAGUAGUAGGAUUAUAUGCGUAAUAAGUAAACCAUUCGUGCAGGGGUACGUGGACAAUGGCGUGAUCAUGGGGCAGACCGGCAAGGCGGACGACGGCGGCAGGUACGCCGGCAUCGAGUACAUGCGGUGCGCGCCGGAGAACGCCUUCUUCCCGGACCUGUCGCGGGUGCGGCGGACCGACGUGAUCUUCUUCUGCUCGCCCAACAAUCCGACGGGGCACGCGGCGUCGAGGGAGCAGCUCCGGCAGCUGGUGGAGCUCGCGCGGCGGAACGGCUCCAUCAUCGUCUUCGACUCCGCCUACUCGUCCUACAUCUCCUCCUCCUCGUCGUCCUCCACGCCGAGGUCCAUCUACGAGAUCCCCGGCGCGAGGGAGGUGGCGAUCGAGGUGUCGUCCUUCUCCAAGUUCGCCGGGUUCACGGGCGUCCGGCUGGGGUGGGCUGUGGUGCCCGACGAGCUGCUCUACUCCGACGGGGUCCCCGUGGCGCGGGACUUCGACCGCGUGGUGUGCACGUGCUUCAACGGCGCGUCGGGCAUCGCGCAGGCGGGCGGGGUGGCGUGCCUGUCGACGGAGGAAGGCCGCGGCGCAGUGGCGCGGGUGGUCGGGGUGUACAGGGAGAACGCGCGGGUGCUGGUGGAGACGUUCAGGUCGCUGGGGAAGGAGGUGCACGGCGGCGGCGACGCGCCGUACGUGUGGGUGAGGUUCCCGGGGCGGCGGUCGUGGGACGUGUUCGCGGAGAUCCUGGAGAAGACGCACGUCAUCACCGUGCCUGGCAGCGGGUUCGGCCCCGGCGGCGAGGGCUUCAUCAGGGUCAGCGCCUUCAACAGCAGGGACAAGGUCCUCGAAGCGUGCCAACGCCUCAAAAGCUUCCUCGCAUGAUGACAUUUUCUUCAGUUAUACAUGUACUACUACAUACAUACAUACAUACUCACUCCAGACUCGUAAAGAAAGUCGUUUAGGACAAUAUUUAAGUCAAACCUUAGGAAUAUAAAUCAUGAAUAACUCUCAAUUUGUUGAGUUUGAAAAUGUAAAAAUUAUAUGAAUAGAUUUGUCUUGAAAAAUACUUUUAUAAAAGCAUACAUAUAUCACUUUUUAAUAAAUAUUUUUAUAGAAACAAGAAGUCAAAGUUAUGUUUUAUAGACCGUGUCGCUGUCCUAAACGACUUCCUUUACGAGUCUGAAGGGAGUACGUAAUAGCUUUGCGGUGAGCUGACAUUUAUACCGUCUCUGACCGGCCAAGUCAUGAAGUCAAAAGUAAUGCAGGUGUUAUGUAUCAAUCAAAAAUACAUGUAAGAUCAUAGCUCAAUUUGGAAUAAUACAAAGUGAUUUCAGGUAUCUAACCUGUCCAUUGCAAUGACUAAACCAGCUGCUGUCCAUUGCAAUUUCGUUUUGUUCAUGUCUGUACUUAAGAUUGGAACAGAGAAACUCAAAUGAUUUUAGCAAGCGCAACGCAAUAAGGGUACUGUGAUUCUUUCUGAGCCAUGAUCUGUCCUCAAGACCAUUGAAGAUUGUUUUCAUUGGACAUCGGAAGAUCCUAUUUUGGCUCGAAUCACAGCACUUAGCCAAAAAUUAACUUACUCAAGUACACAUUUAAAAGUGCUGGACAGCUCCAAAUGUUCCCUUCUGACGCCAUUUGUUACUCAUCACUUUCACUUUCCUCCUCACUUUCGUCAUCUUGGUUAAAGUUCAGGUGGUUCAGGUUUUCCUCUAGAGGUGGCAAGCCAUCGUCGGAGUCAGCGUCAGAUCCUUCCUCUGUGCUUUGGUGUGAUUUCUCUGCCGCUAUGACGCGGAAAUAUUGAGGGUCAAUAUUUGCACUCUAAAAAUGGUUAGCUUAUGGCAAAAAUAGCUGAGAUGUAAUUAUUACCGUUUACAGGUGACUUUGGAACAUUAGAGUUACUUGACAACCAAGAAUUCUGCACAUUGAUUAUCUCGGUGCCAUUUUCACACUGCGAGUAUGCUUUGAGCAGCUCUCUGCACAUCAUAACAACAAAAGGGUGCGAAAACAUCUGGUGACACAAAUCUAAAAUAAAUAUGCAGUACAUAGUAUCCAGUCUUCAUAAACAUAAUGCAGUAACAGAGAAAGUUGCAAUCAUUUGACCAUCAUAUUCAGAAAUCCUUGGGUACCAUGGGUUCUUAGCAUGAUUCAGUGUACAUUGUCGUCUGAAAUUUGCUGGAUAAAGGUAACAACACCGAUACAAUAUAAUAUGCAGGAUAGCUUAUUUUGUCCUGUCAUCACCCCAGAUUAGGCCAGUAAUUAGCAUGUUGAAAUUUGAAAUGUAAACUAAUAUGCUUCAAUCUACUUAAUUGCUGUGUGCAGGUGCUGGGUUUGCAGAAAAGUAGUAUAUUAUAUAUGAAUAUGCACUCCCUUGAUCAUAAACAGAUACUGUGUGUCCAAAAUGCACUGCCAGUCUAUGCAUGACAAUAAAAUAUUUCUCUGAACUAACCUGUUAACUGACAAGAACGAGUGACCCCACUUGAAUUUCCCAAGCAACAGAUGCGCUGUCUCUUCCUCCCCACUGCAAAUAUGUAUGUACCACAAGGUAAUGCCUAAGUAUUAAGUAACUAUCCCUCCGUUCAUUUUUGAAAGGCACAAAUUACUUGGUACAGUCUUUCAAACUGAGCUUUCCCCAUAAUCUAUUGCAUUACUAUUAUUAAUCAGAAAUUCAUGACCAUAUGUAAGUACAUUGAUGUACAAAUCUAGUGGCAUCAUCCUUAUAUCACUAAACCUAUAAUUAGCAUAAUUGUUGACCAAAACAAAGUUUGAAUCUUGAAAUAUGUGUGUGCCUUACAAACUUGAACAAAGGGAGUAAUAUCCUGAGCUACAAAUUCACAUCAAGAAGUUUAGCAUGGUAGAAGGAUUAAAUGCUCUAAGUUAGUUAAACUUGAAAUGCCAAACAGCAACACUGCUACAGAAAAAUGCGUAAAUGACGGCAUACACCUAUAAAACAGACCAAUAUCAUGAACAGCUGCGAUGAAUCCAGAAACUAAACUAACUAUAUGGUCCAAAAGUUUAAAUUAAUAGCUCAGUUUAAUUGUAAGGAAAGGCUGGAGAUUUACCAUAUUAUGAGGGCUGCUGAUAAAGCUUCCACACAAGACAAUUCACAUGGACGACCAUAAUUGACAGGGUUUGCCGCAACCAACCAUGGCACUGCAAUCAAGAAGUAAACCCUUAUGAGAAGGACAGACUCUCUUAGGAAACAGUGAGCAAAAAUAUCAGUACAAAAAUAACCCUUACUACUACUACUAAUAAUAAUAUAAUAAUAAAAGAGCGCAAAGUUACAUUACAAAUUCAAGAGAAGGUAGUCCAAAAGUCACAGGAAAAUGACAACUUUAGAAAUAAUAACUGUUAUAAGAUUACAUGAUUUGUUAUGGAAUCAUUUUGGUACGCUUCUAGAGUUCUGGAUUUAGCGCAGAAAAGGUAGGAAUGAUCCCAGCAACUACAAUCGGCUCAUUGAAGUUACUCGAAUAUGAUGGUCUUACAGAGACGAGGAGCGCCACAACGGAGUUUCACAAAAGGGACAUCACUUAAUCGCGCCCACGAACAAUCAACAACAGCAAGUCCUUUUCUUUGCACGAUAUGACGAUCUUCCUUGGAAACACACUGUGUUCCAACAGGGCUGAAAGAAGAUAACAAGCAUGUAGUAACAUCUGUAUCCCAAACAACAAUUACUUAAGCAAAGUAUGUUUUCAAAAAGUAAUGUUUUGCGGCAUAUAGAAGUACCUGAGAACAACACCACCAAAACCAUUGGUCACUCGCAACUCCUGCAAGACAAAUAACAUUUUCUUUAACAACAGCUCUACCUUCCAUAGAUGAUGCAGUGCUGGUCUUUGCCAAAAAGUAUGCAUGGCGACAAAGAGAAACAAAGUUUACCAGCAGUCUGACUAGAAUAAGAUCGAUGAAAUCAGAUGGUUAUGGCUCGACAUCCAUGUGCAUGCAGUGUUUGUGGUUUCUCUUUAUUGUUGAUUUUAGCACAUGAUUUUUGGGGAAACAUGGUUCGGAUGUUGUGAACCAAAAGAGGCCAUACCUUUAAUAGCCCAAAUCUUGAAAGCUUACGACCAGUGCAUCUUUUAACAUCACAUUGGCCAAAGUCCUAUACAAAAACACAAGAGUUCACCCACAAUGUAAGUGACUACUCCAUAAGAUCAAAUGCAAAAAGAAUGCAGUGGUUGCACCUACCCACAUAGCAAGCUGAAUUUUUGGACCUUUUGGUUCUUCUUCAGUGUCUAAUGGAUAGAAAAUCAAAAUGACAGUAUUAGUAAGCUUUCAGUUGGAGCAACAAUGUAACUAAUUCAAGCAUAUGCAGCCUGCGAAAUAACUAUAGUCCUGACUGUCCUCUUUAACAGCAAAGUUUCACAUUAAAUAGCAAAAAUUGAAAUACUUGAAAUGCGAUGCAUAUUCUCAUGCAAAUGCAUCACAAUAGCAUACGGUAAUUAACCAUCUCAAUCAAUUCAUCAUAUGUCGAAAGCACAAACUAUUCAUAAAUAGCCAAAAAAAUCCGUGCCUUCCUGCCUUGGAAGUGAUGUCCCGGGACCAUCAUCCCUGAAAUUAAAGAGUAAAAAGAGGGGAAUUUAGUCUUAUUUGUUAGUACUAGUAUUAAAAUAACCCUCUUUUUUGCGGUGGUGUUACAAUAAUCCGAACUUGCGUGUUAUAAGAGGGACUUGUGACUUCAACAGAAGCACAUUUUAUUACAUUUUGUUCUACCUCUGCAGACUGCAGUAGGAACUAAGAACAUAACAGCAGCAAGGAAAUGGUUUCGCAGUAGAAAAUCAAAAUAUAAAUAAUUCACGAAAACCCUUGAUUGUUUAUAGGCAGAUAACUCGAUUGCAAAAACCCUUGAUUGUUCAUAGGCAAAUAAUACGAAUCAAAGACCUCAAAUUUGUUUGAUGUCCCACGAACAUGAUCUUAAUAUACUUAUAUACACAUGUAAAAUCUAGCACAAUCAGACAAACAAAGAGUCCGGGAGUUCACCCUAUUCCAAAGCCCUAGGCCGUAGACAAGCAACAGCAGGAAUCAAAAAUCUUUGAAAGCCCUCCAAAGGGAGAGGGUUUUGGACGGAAACAUAAUUCGGCGGUAGAUAGCAAAUCGCGCGCUAUAAUUACCACGCGGCUUCCUGCUUGGUGCGGCGCGACGACGAGGAGGAGGAGGAUCCACGGCCGCGUCUCCGGUUGUAUCCCAUCGCGAAGCUCGCCGGCGACGGCAGAGGUGUAGAUGGAGGACCGUCGUCGGCCUCGUGGUUCACCGGCGCCCCGCCUCACCCCGGACAGGACAGGAUGAACCCCUAUCGACUGCGCACAAGUGUUCGCCGGAGAUCGACGGAGAUGCCGCCGCCGCCGCCGCCGCCGCCGCGAUGCCUCGUGCUCUUGCGGGAAUUCGGUUCGGGUGGGGGAUGCAGGGAGGAGUGAGUGGGCUGUGGGCUUGUGCGGCAUGUAAUAGCGGGAGUGGGCCGUAAUAACUGUGGGCUAGUGGGUGGGCCGGCCCAUCACACAGUCAUACUACAGCGGCGAAUGACGGGAGGAACGAACACCUGCGUUACACGAGGCACGCACGACUGAGCCGUGCCACUGCAUGUGGGACCAUGUGGUCGGUGAGAUAACUGGCUACAAAUACCCAACUAAUACUCCCUCCGUUUCGAAAUGUUUGACACCGUUGAUUUUUUAGCACAUGUUACAUGUUUGACCGUUCGUCUUAUUCAAAAACUUUUGUGAAAUAUAUAAAAUUAUAUGCCUACAUAAAAAUAUAUUUAACAAUGAAUCAAAUAAUAGGAAACGAAUUAAUAAUUACUUAAAUUUUUUUGAAUAAGACGAACGGUCAAACAUGUGCUAAAAAGUCAACGGUGUAAACAUUUCGAAACGGAGGGAGUAUAUAAUGAUCCCUCCGUUCCAAACAAUAAGGCGUUCUGAAGAAAAAUAAAUAUUCACAGGUUUUGCCUAGUAAUUAAACUUCUAAUAUAGUAAUAUAUACUAUUUGAAGGUAUUUUCAUAUGAUAUUAUUUUUAUAGUUGUCAUUCCAGUGGAAAAUCUACACCAAAACCAACUAGAAAAUUUCGCCACAAAUCUGGUGGCAGUACUUACUCCUACCAUGUACACGAAAUCUAACUCUUGUUUAGGUGUAGAGCCAGAAAUCUAGCUCUUUUGGGGACGGGAGGUGUACCAUGCUAGUGUGUUGGACAAAUGAAUUUUGCAGCAUAGUAGCUCGGAUUUUGCCAAAACGCACAAACUCGAGUACAAAUUAAUUAUACAAACUCGAUUAAUAUAAUAAUAUUACACAAUCAUCAGUUCCAACACUUAAAACCUGGCAUUUGCUCUUCACAAAUGCAUCCGAUACAUCACAAACCUACAGCUAUAGUGGGGAAUUUAGACGAACUCGGCAUACUAAGUUCAGACAGACACAGUUCGUCUUCCCCCAACAGUUGCACGUCGCACAAUCCAUGAAGCACCACACUACAGCUGAAGCUGCAUCAUCGUGCAGCACUAGCACACAACACAAUCCUUUUGUAGCGUACCACGAAGCACUAGUGUCUCUCUUUAUUCAACCACCGGAGAGACCAUGCACACGGUGGAUUCGAUUCAGCAGCAUUCCAGGGCGUUUCCCGCCUUGUUUGCCAGGCAAGCUUCCACGGCUUCGCCCACCGUGAGGAAGAACCAUCCUUCUCCGAUUCCGUCGACGAGCCGUGCCAGUUUCAUCUUGUGGAUCACCUGCCAUCCAGGCUUGGCUAUAGCCAUCUGCAAGUGGGGUUGUUUUUCAGGACAAGGGCGAGAGCAUUUCACCACAGCAUCGGCCAGCUUUUCGGAGGAAAAUAUGCAGUGCAAACUCUAUACAUAUGUUGGAAACCUGAGCAUGUUGGUAACGCUCACCUGGAUGCCGAGACACGCCAGCUCCUUGUGCAGUUCUUCCAGCGCCACAAGACCUGAAGUAUCCAUGUUUACCACAUCUGCAAGAUAGGAACUCACAUGUCAGGAUAAUGCUAGGUAGAGAUCACUCUGACAAUAGCCAACUUGUGUAAAUUUCAUAUACUUGACAUGUCAAGAACGACCGAGCAAAAUGCCUCGCGCUCAUCGGUUACCCAUCCCAUGAUCCUGGAAACAGGGAAAAGUGAAUUAAUACCGAGUCAUCCAGCAUUCAGGUAUUCCCUUUUGUGAUCCCAAUUGCUUGUGAUUAGUGUCUGUACUUUUCUUUGAUGGAACUGGAGUUGACGAAGCAAAGGAAUGAUGUUUCAAUGCGUACGGUCAGUACAGUCGGUGUUUCGUGAACCACUGGAUACUGCUUGACGUUACAGAAGAUUUCUGUGCCCUGAAGCCUCCCAAGAAUCUCUACUUGAGGCCAAAUCGACUGUAUAAUGAUCUUUGCAAAGGAAACAAGAAGCUGCAAGAAGAGCUCCACCAAAUCAGAAUUGCAUAAGCAUGCAUGCAAGAAAUGAAACUUCAACAUACUUCUGAUGAAUCAAAAUGAAAAAAAAAAUACAGUAGUAAACUUCAGAUCAAAUGAGGGAUCAGUACUGCAACUGAAAGACCAAUCUCCACUGAUCCGAAUAGAACACCAAGGAAUGAUCCCAUGCAUGUGAGGAAGUCCAUCUUGUCGACUUUCCACAGGAAGCAGACUUCCUGCACAUUGAUCAAUCCUGGAAGAGCUGACAGAAUGAUUGAUGCAAGGAUGGACACAGGUGUGUAGUACAGGAGCUUUGUGAGAAGCUCCAAGGCAACCAUCACAGUGGCAGCCAUGAUAAUGUUUGAAACGGUUGUCUUGCAACCAGCAGCGAAGUUCACAGCUGUGCGCGAGAAUGAACCUGCAGAUAAUUACCAAAGUAAAGUUUGAUGGUUGAACGAAUCUAGGAAUGUACAUACGAUCUGCAGAUUUUUUAUUCACCUGUUGCUACAUAGCAUGAUGAUAAGGAUCCUGCUAUAUUCAUGAAGCCCAUUGCUACCAUUUCCUUAUUUCCGUCCAACCGAUAUCCAUUGAUCGCUGAAAAAGAGCGGCCAACAGCAACAGCUUCCUGUCAUAAACAACACAGACCAGAAUAGUUUUCUGAAACUCAGUUUUCAUAUGGACCUCCUAUUGAGUGAUUCUGAAAUGCUUAGUGAGUUUCUACUAAUAGCUGUCUGAACUCUGAAUACUCCUUUAGGCUAGACUUAUUUAUACUUUUAAUAAUUUCUGCAGAAGUUCAUUUAAGCUUAUGCCUACUCACUUUUUUUUGUUUAAAAUGAGUAGUUCACUUCAUAGCUUUAUAUAAAAUAAAAAUAGUGGAGGAGUCAAUUUUCUCUAAUUAAUGCCUGAUGAGAUUUUAGGCCGCACACGUUUCUGUUUGUAAAAGUAUAUACGCACUACUCUCUUGACAAAUACGCUGCAGCACUAGGAGUAUAGGAGUAAGUCACAUUAUUUCUUUUGAAGUGCAUUAUUUUUAGCAAGGAAGCAAAGUUUUGAUACAACAACCUGAGUCUAAUUUGUACAAAAGGCCUAAUAAAUUAUAAGAAUGAAGAAACAACAGGAUUAUCUUCUUCUUCUUCUCGUUUUACAGGGAGAGGAGCAGGAGUGCAGGACUAUCUUUGAAGGGUAAACACGUACCGUCAGAGCAAUCACAGCACAAACAAGAGCAAUCUUUGCACAUUCGGCAGCAUAGCCUCCUUUGAGAUCUAUCUGCUCGACAGAACUUGCAUUAAUACCUGAAUUCACUUUUUGUAUAAUCUUCACGCCGUGCUUAUCCGCUCUUGUCGCAUAGACAAACAGAGUAGAUAGUGCAACUGAUAGUACAGGUGCAAUGGCAGAGACCCAAAAGAGUUUCUUGUACUUCCUUCCCUGAAAGUAUUCGUUCUCCAAGAUCAAGAUCAAGAUCGAGAGAGAGAGAGAGAGAGAGAGAGAGAGAGAGAGAGAGAGAGAGAGAGAGAGAGAGAGAUCUUACAAUGAAUCUCAUGGCAAGAAUGAACAUGAAAAAGGAACAUCCAAUGAAGACGUUCUCCGGAUGCCACUGUCGUUACAUGCCAGAUAUAAAAUUGCAUACAAAGGCAGCUCAAAUAUAAGGAUUAAUGGGGCAAAAGCACGCUUAGGUAACAUCCUGACAAGUGAGAACUAAAGUUACAAUUACUUAUAUAUAGUAUAUACUCAUGAUUGCUUUGUUACAAAAUCUGUAGAGAAUAAAUUUGCAAGGCUAUAGUAAGUGUACUGGCUAAGUAUAUGUCUAAAGAAUUGUAGUUUUAUGCAUGCAUCAGCACUUCUCUCCUCAUGAUUACUGAAAACCUCAGCAACUGAAGAAGCAAUUAGCUCAUACUAUUAAGUAGUAAGAAAUACUAAGAACUAUACUGAUGAGCUAGCAGUUUUUUUGCUGUUGUCAUGCAUGCUGAAUUGAGUAGCUAAUUUCAUUCAUACAGCUUUAUCUCUUUUUGUGUCGAAGGGAACUUGUACCUAUUUUUUGGCUUGAUACUUUGGACUAGUUAAUUUCAUAUGUGUUAAAGCUUAUAAUUUUAAUAUUUUGUUUUAGUGAUCAUAUUAUGUGUUAUCAUAACUUCCAGGCAUAUGCCUGCGCAUGCACAGGUUCAGAUUGAAUAUAAGGGCAAAUACUUACUGUUUCGUGAACUGAAACCCAGACUGCCUUGGUGACAGAGACGACAUCAGUUCUAUUUGUAAAAUGACUAAGUCCAAGCAGCCCCUUCAGCUGCUGUAAUCCAAUCACAAUAGCAGCUCCUCCCAUGAACCCGACGAUAGCAGCAUGUGAUAGAAAAUCCACAAGAAAUCCCAGUCUACAAGAAUCAAUGCAAAAGUCAGUUAGGGAAUGUAAGUAAGCGCAUUUUGAUCAAAAGACGGCAGAGACACUACCUGAACAGACCAAAUGCAAACUGAAAGACACCAGUAAGGAAUGUCACGGUAAAGACCAUUUUUCGGUAGAACGCUGGAUCAACAGAUGGGUCAACUAUCUUCUGAAUCAUUGAUGAAAGCAAUAAUGACACAAUGGCAACUGGUCCAAUGGCUAUCUCCCUAGAGGACCCCGUCACAGCAUAUACAAGAGGUGGCACAACACUUGUAUCUUACCACAAAAUAAAACCAUAUGUCAAAAGAACAUUUAGAACACAUAAAACCAAGUUAAAUCUGCAAUGACUUACAAAGACCAUACUGAGGAUCCAGUUUUGCCAGAGUUGCAUAUCCAAUGCUCUAUAAUAACAGGACAAUAAAACAAGUCAGAAAUAUCUGAAUAAUCUAGGCGAAUUCCAACCUUCUAAGUAAAGAAGUCAGUCACUACUGACGACUUGAGGAAAUGCAUCAAGGAAUUGAUAGAGAAAUCCCAGGAGUUUGCUCGAUUCAGACAAGAUUCAUACACAAUUUGUGCAUAUAUGAUAACAAUAGUUCCAGUCAUCUCAAAAAACAAACAAUUACCUGUGGAAUGCUAAGGCUUGCAAGAGUUAGGCCAGCCAUGAGGUCACUUCGAAAGAAUUUCAGAUUGUAGGUUUUCCACCAGUCAAGUAUUGGAAACAGACCCUGUAGAACAGACAUCACAUACACAGACAGUGUGAAGCGCUUGUCUGCACCUUGCCAACGGAAUGCCUUCCUGAACAUGCCGGUGAGAUCAUUCCACAGGCUUGGGUGCUCUGGCCCUUGCAGCAGCAAGUCUGCAAAAGCUGUCCCUAUGGGCACAGAUGACUCACUUGCCAUGGGCUCCAUGGCUGGUUCUGAAGUGUUUGGGUGAACUCCCUGAGGAAAUGGCUGAAAUUCCAUCACAAUGUAUCGGUGCCUCCAAGAUUGGUGAGCUGUGAGGAUGGCAAGUCCAUGUGAACCUUAGGUGCUUCAGGUGAAUUUGAUUGCUCUAAGGUGGCCAUACAAGGUGCCAUUUAUAGUGCUAUGGUUUAUGCUGCCACCUAUUGAAGAGUGAAGGCAACACAUCCUAAAGGGCAUGUGCCUGCUGUUCUAAGGUCAUAUUCAGUUUGCAAAAAUGAAGCUCCUUUCAUUCCGAUAAUUGAAUUGAUAAUGAUGAGUUUUCUUUGGCUAUGCAAGUGUGCUUCUACUAGCCUAAUGAUCGUGACUGCUUUGCAAAGUUUUUUUUUUUCUGACAGAAACGAAUGAUCCAAUCCCUGGUUUGUUCUCCUCUUGUACUUUCCAGUAGUCCUGCAGUUAAUUACUUGGGGUUUGUUAUAUGAACUUUACACUCAAGACUUUGGAUAGAUAUCCAUGCUAUAAACCUCUAGCAGUGCAUUUGCAGAACAAUAAGCGGGCCCAAAUUCCUUUUUAUGAAUGUUUAUUCAUGAUUUGGUAUUUAGGCUAAGGGCAAAACUGCUCAAGUAACAAUUGUUAAAUGUUGUGAAUAAAGGGCACAUCAUGUUUGCUUAGAGUAACUUAACUGGUCCAUUCUCAUCUCACUGAAACUUGGACCUUUCACCUUUGCUUCUAGAAAAGCAACUUGUAUGAAUGCAUAAAAAUUAUUCUGGUGCAUUAUUGUUUGUGAUGGACCAUGCUGGAGCUGCUCACAGCAACAUUGCCCACAGAGGUCAGAACUUGAACUGUUAGUCCAAGUAGUGAGAAUUGUCAUGCCAACCUUCUCCAAGGGAGAAGCAGGCAGCACUUGAAAAUGUUUUAAAAUCCAAGGAGAGAAUUCUCUAGUACAAGCUAGUUAAACUUAAAUAGUUAAAUUGGCUGUCUGGCUGAUUGCGUUGUGUAACAAAAACUUUUUUGCUUUCUUCUAAUAUAUUGACGUGCAAUCCUUUUGCGUGUUCGCGAAAAUAGUUAAACUUAAAUAGAAUGAGAUUAAUUAUUCACUAAAAUAGCAUGUGCAACUUUCUGAUUAGUGGGCUAAAACAAUAGAUCACCCUAGCACUCUUUUUAGGGAAUACGCAAAGGCUUGCACAUCUUUGUAUCAAGGAGAUAGUUCAACAUCCGGCCGUGCUAACUAGCAGGCCACAGAAAAAUUACAUGGGUUUCUCCCAACAACUUUUGCGACCUAACAGAGCUACCGCGCUCAAACUACCAGUUGGGGCAGUUUGAUCCCUGCAGUGACCCCAGGGCCGCGCUUCUUCGGCAAUAGAGUUGAUUAGUUGCACCCAGUUUCGGGAUUUGAUAUUGAGGACCCGAUUGUUGCACUCUUUCCAUAGAACCCAAGCCACUAGGAUCACUAUGGAAUCAAAACCUCUUUGUAGUUUCUGGUUGAAGCCUUUCCUCCAAGCAUUCUGUAAGGCUACAAUAAUCUGGGUUCUGGAUUAGCAAUAAAGAUGUCCUGGGCUACUUCCCUUAUUGGGGUGCAUGCACCAGUUGUUUCACUCAAAAUCUUCUUAGCUUGAUGGAGAAAAGUAGACAAUUCACUUAUACGAGAAAGGGUAGACAAUUCACUUAUACUUCAAUACUCUCCCUCAUGUCUAGGUCCCUUUGGCUUCAGAUGUUGAAUAUAAGUGGGCAUAAAUCAUUAAACUGAAACUGCGCUAGCUAGGGUUCGAACUUGGAACCUUUGGGCUCUAAUAACAUACUGAGUUGCAUGCAAUGGCCAGUUCAUUUAAAAGCUUAAGUUGGUGGAACUUCAACACCAUUUGCCAACCAAGAAACUAAAGAUACAACAUCCAUGGACAGAGAAGAAUAUUACACACAAAAUAACAGCCAAAUAUUUUUCUCUUUUACGAAAGAUCAACAAAAAGGGAGUUAAAUUGUAUUAGAACUUUGGACAAUUUUUCAUAAGUCGAGUUAGUUCACAGCUGAUUCUUGUUUGUAUUCAACUUUGACCUCCAUUGACUUUCAAAGAACAAAUUAGGUAAACUUUACUGUAGCAACAGCAUAAUAAUUGAUAAGUGGAUAACAGAAACUCUGAUCUGUAGCACACACACGGCAGGGGGCUUAUAACUGAAAAGUGCCUCCAACCUUGCCUGCAUAUAAUAUAAGCAAUGAUUGCUGAAUCUGCAGUAGUCAGAUGCUUGACACCACAAAUCCAAAGCAUUUAUCGACCUCUCGUCCUUCCUUUAUGCAAGAUCUGACGUAUAAGAUCCUAAAGUAUAUGGAGCUUGCAAGUGCCCCGACACUUAUCGCAAAUUAAAUGGUCCGACCUAUGUUUUGAAUUAAGUUGACCCUACCAAUCAAACGCGUGAAAGGAACAAAUGGAGCUUGGCAACCAUGGUAACCACAUUCCUGGUCUAUUCUCCUUUAAUUUAGAGGGGACAUAAUGAGCAUCACACCAAUUCCAACCCAGAUCUGGAUGCAUAACGAGCUACUGCACAAAAUCCAUCAUACAACAAACAAAACAGUACUCUGCGUGUAUCAAAAAGGAAUUAGACACUUGGAAGUGGUGUGACCACUAUUAUAUGGAGUAUUAUGGAGUGAAGAUUGCCCUUGGUCGAGAUGUACCUUUCUCACGUUUGAUUUCAGAGUCAACUCCCAAAAAAGGGGGAAAAGUAUGCAUAAAAUGUAUUAUUGAUAUAGCACCCAUAGGCUGCUUUCCCCAUUCAUCAGGGUGCGAAUUUCUGCUUUAAAAAAAAAAACGUAACUUCGCUGCAGUAAAAACAGCACUUGUUUCUCGAGGAAAUCGGAAACGAACCUGAGUACGAGAUCAAUCUGGAAUUGGAAAAGCACCUCGUUCCCCAUAGCGGCCUUCCGCCGCCUUCUUUGCCCCUCAUCCUCCUCCCGCCGCCUCUUCUUCCCCCUCUCGCUCGCUCGCCAUUUGCCGCAUGGCUUGAUACAAUGAUACUACUACCCCUGCACCGAUGGGUUCGCCGAACUAGGGCGGCGCGGGAUCGGCGGCCGUCGCCGGGAACUAGACGAAGGAACCCCAUCAACUUCUCCGUGUUCGCACCGAUGGGUUCGCACGACGGCGCCGUCGCCGUCGCCGGAAGGGAGGCGAAGGACACGCGUCACCGGCUGGUGAUUAUAACUAAGCAGGCCGUCCGAGUGGGCCCACAGCAAAUCCUAUGAUGGGCCGAGACACUGAACAGUAGGCCCAUUUGGCCGGGUCUUUGUUGUAUUUCAGUAAGUAAAGUAUAAAAACCCAGGUUACGAAGAAAAGGAAAAACAAUCAUCUGUGUUCGAGUACACUGAUCCAAUAUAGUUAGUGGCAUUAACCAUCACAAAGUAUUUACUACAAAUUACAGUGGCAACAACACAUUUAUUAGUGAGCGCAUUGGUUACUACGGAACCAUCACACUGCAGUUGUUAUCGCAGUAACAUUUCUUCGAUGCUUACUGCCUGCAAAGCAUUUUUCUAACUUCUAUAGACAUUGUUCACUCUGGAAUAUUGAAUGGCUGGAUGCAAAGCACUAAGCAGCAUCACUUAUGUCUUAAUAUGGUGUUAAUCCUACUAAGUACUACUAACACACACACCUCAGCAUUCCAGAGCAGUGCCCUUUUGCAUAGUUACACAGGCUUCAACCGCUUCACCUACUGUCAAAAAUAUCCAGUCUCCUCCUACCUGGUCAACCACACCUGCCAAUUUCAUCUUCUGGAUCGCUUGCCAUCCUGGGCCGGCAAUGGCCAUCUGCAGAGCAGCAGAGAGGUGUUUCAGCACAAGAACGAGAGCAUUUUACUAGGAAAUUUUGGGAGCUAGUACUUAUAUCCAUCAGUCAACUACUUCACCUGUAUGCUAAGAGAUGCCAGCUCCUUGUGUAUCUCUUCCAAGGCCGAAAUCCCUGAAGUGUCAAUGUUUACCACAUCUGCAAAUCAGAAAGAUGGGUCAGAUUUUCUUUUUCUGAAUUGUUCAGUAGCACCAGUUUUCGUUAGAAAAUGGUGAAGUUAUUUGUGUUUUGUAAUUUGUACUGACUUGACAUGUCAAGGACAACAGAUUGCACCCUCUCCCUGGCCUUCUCAUCAGACGUCUCGACUUCUUCUCGUAUCCAUUCGAUGAUCCUGAAUGAAGAACACAUAUUUGAGCAUUCCUACUCAAACAUUACAAACUCAUAUAAAUUUUAUGAGAUUGACCAUUCCUACCUUUCUUUGAUGAAAGUGGAGUUGAUAAAGCACAGGAAUGAUGUAUCAAUCCGAAUUGUCAAUACACUCGGAAUCCGGCAAGCAACAGGGUACUGUCUGAUGCUGCAGAAGAUGUUUGUCCCCUGAAGCCUACCAAGAACCUCUACCUGAGGCCGGAUUGACUGUAUGAUGAUCUUGGCAAAGGAGAUGGCGAGCUGCAUUGAGCGAUCGAUCCAUACCAAGUCAUACAACUGACAUAAAAUUUGCACAAAUUUCGACUCGAAACCAAGCUGCAUCUAUGAUCCAUCCGGCAUUGAUCUUACCGCUACGGCGAGGCCGAUCUCGACUGAUCCGAAGAGCACGCCGACGAACGCGCCGAGGCAUGUGAGGAAAUCCAUCUUGUCGACCUUCCAGAUGCUGAGAGCCUCCUUGAUGUCGAUCAGGCCUGGAAGUGCCGACAAAAUGAUGGAGGCCAGCACGGCUAUGGGUGUGUAGUAGAGCGACUUCAUGAGCAGCUCCAGCGCGAUGAACACCGUGAUGGACAUGACGAUGUUGGACACGGUUGACCUCGCGCCGGCGCUGAAGUUGACGGCUGUUCGUGAAAAUGAGCCUGAAAAAUUUUGUUGACGUCUGUCAGACACCAGCAGUAUUUAUUUGAUUUGAUUUGAUUCUUCUUCAGAAGACUGCAUAUAGGUAGCUGUAAUUGUGAUCACCUGUUGCAACGUAGCACGAGGAGAGAGAUCCGGCCACAUUUGAGCAUCCCAUGGCGAUCAUCUCCUUGUUCCCGUCGAGUUUGUACCCUCUUAUCGACGCGAAUGAUCGUCCAACAGCAAUGGCUUCCUGCAAAAGGUAACACAAGAAUGUCAAUAAAUCACUGCAUCUUCAUCUCUUCUUUUCAAUUUUUUUUUCUUCUCUUUACUAUAAUGACCUGUUCAUGGGCCAGCAGGCCCAUCUGAGGCCCAAAAUUUUUUUGGACCUUGGGCUUACAUUUUGGGCUGAAGUCUUUUCAGGCCCAGAUAAGCCCACGAACAGGCCCAUAGAACGCCCUGAUGGUAACUGAAGAAUUUUACUGCUACUUACCGUGAGGGCGAUGACGGCGCAGAUGAUGGCGGUCUUGGCGCAGUCGACGGUGUACGGCCCGCUGAGGCGAAGCUGGCUGGCGGAGCUCGGGUUGAGGCCGGCGUGCACCCGCUGGAUGAUCUUGACGCCGUGCUUGUCGGCCCUCGUCGCGUACACGGCGGCGGUGGACAGGAUGACGGACAGCAGCGGCGAGAUGGCCGACAGCCAGAACAGCUUCUUGUACCUCCUCCCCUGUGGCCACAUUUUGCAAACCCGUUUCAUGUGUUAACUAACAUGCAUGUGUGCUCGAUCCUCUGAUGAUCAUCAGAUCAUGGGAAGAUUAAGAUAUGUUUCUUUUCUCUUAAACAGCAAUUGGAUCGGAAGAGAUAUUUGGUUUGAUUAAUUGAUUGUUCUUACAAUGAAUCGCGUGGCGAGGAUGAAGAUGAGGAAUGAGCAUCCGAUCAAGAAGUUGCCGGGGUGCCACUGCAAUGCCAUUAGAUAAAAGAGAGAGCACAUUAGAAUAUUAGAUACAGCAGUUCAUCUUUUAUUUUCUUCUUUGUCUGAAUAUAUUCAGACAACAGUUGAGCCGAGCAUAAGCGGUGGGGGGUUGACAUAAAGGCACGCGCUAUGUUUGUCCAUUAAGUAGUAUCCAAAUAGUAAACAGUGCACGCAUGUGGUCUUGUUCUUCAUCCACUGAAGCCUGAUUAUUCUGUACUGUCAAGUUGCAUAUUCAUUCCAAGUACUCGAUUUUGAUUGUUUAUAGGCUUCUGGUUUUGCUCAUAAAUUCUCUUUGCUCAAUCGUGUACCGACCAGGGUUUCCCAAACCACCGGGGCCAGGGUUAUCGCGCCCCGGCGGUAAGCACGGUUACCGCGCGGUAACCGUGGUAACCGUGAAAAACCGUGCAAAAUUUAUCAAAAAUUCAAAUUAUUUUUUAAAUUUAUUUGAAUUUGAGAAGGUUACCGCGGUAUUUAUAUUACCGUACCCCCGCGGUAAGCGUGGUAACCACGGUAACCGCCGGUAACCGCGCGGUAAGGUAAACCUUGGUACCGACUACUGAAUACCAACAACCUAUGCAACAUCCAACGAUCUUUUCUAGGAUCAUUAUAUAAUAUAUAACUAUUAGUAGUAGUUCAGGACGAUACACCAAAUUGAUUGAGCUGGGAUUAGGUGCUAAUUGUUGUCUUUAUUUAUCUCAUUUUACUAUGUUCAGUCAAUCCAGGCACUGAAAACUACAAAAUUGGUUUAAGGAUUCGACAAAAAAAUAUCCAACCCAGAAAGGGUUGCUCGUUUGUGAUGCGUGCACCUCUGACCUCCCUGCAUAUCACGGGGAGACUACUGAAAACCAACUUGUCCCUCCCAACCAAUAUCCAGACUAUAAUAAUGCACAAAAGAACAACUAAUAAGCCCCGAGUCUUUUGUCCAAUCAUAUCGGUUGUAACAACGAAAGGGACGCCAUUUCUUUUCAGGUAGCAUUCAGUAAACAGGUUAAUUUUCUAGGAGCCUUUGAAAUGCAGAUGAGAAGAAACUAACAACCGAGUCAUGACAAAAAUAAGCAGACAAAUAAUGUCGAGAGCGAUGUGUGCAUGUCCAUGCCGUCGUUGUAUGUCCCUACACUUUAGUCGAUCGUUCAUUCUCCAUGGACGAUUAUUUCAUCACUGUGCAUCUAUUUGUCUUUGUUCUUGUUCGGCUUAACUGUAGUAAAUGAUUCUGUUCUACUGGAGUCUGGAGGCUCACCGGGUCUCGGAGUGCAGAGCAGACAGCCUUGAUGACGGAGACGACGUCGGUGCUGUUGGUGAAAUGGCUCAGCCCAAGCAAUCCCUUCAGCUGCUGCAGCCCGAUCACGAUCGCCGCUCCUGCCAUGAACCCAACGAUCGCCGCGUGCGACAGGAAAUCCACCAGGAAACCCAACCUGCGGCGUAGCAAAAACGAUCGUUGGUAGCCUGAACAAGUAUAGCAACUGGAGUGGUAUACAGAGAGGUUGGUGUUCGUCGUUGUACCUGAACAAGCCGAAGGAGACCUGGAAGACGCCGGCGAGGAAGGUGACGGUGAAGACGAGGGCGCGGUAGGUGACCGGAUCGACGGCCGGGUCGACGAUCUUGGAGACCAUGGACGACAGCAGCAGCGAGACGACGGCGACGGGGCCGAUGGCGAUCUCCCGCGACGUCCCCAUGACGGCGUAGAUCAGCGGCGGUACCACGCUCGUGUCUUGACGAUGGCCACAUAGCAAAUAGCAAAAAAAAAUGAUGCAAGAAUCGUUCAGGAAAAAUGAGGAGAAAAUUGAGUUGUUUUUGUGCAACGAAGCUGAAGUAUUGAUGCUUACAAAGACCAUACUGAGGGUCCAGCUUGGCCAAAUUGGCGUAUCCAAUGCUCUGCAGGAUGGAUCAUAUCCAAGGGAUAGCAUAUGUCAGAUAAGAACGAGACAGCUCUCCCCAAUCCCCAUCUCACUAUUUCUAGGCAAAAACUAUGCAUGCUCUGCUCCAAUGUUCUUCUGUUUUUUACUUCUUUUUUUUCUUUACAAAUCGUCUACAUCUAUCAUGAUUUUUCAGACUCCAAGUUUUUGAUGCUGUAGAAAUCAUUAAUGGUGUCAAGACAAAAUCUGUUUGCAGUUGCUUUUCUGUUAUGCUGGUUACUGCUACAGUAUUAUGGGAAGGGUAUAAAAAAAAUAAUAAAAGUUACUACGUACCUGAGGAAUUCCAAGGCUGGCAAGAGUGAGGCCUGCCAUGACGUCACUCCUGAACAACUUGAAGUUGUAGGUCCUCCCCCACUGCAGCACGGGGAACACGGUCUGCAGCGCCGUGAGGGCCCACCCCCACCGCGCCGGCGGCGUACGGCCUGCUCCUCCGCCGCCGCUCGCCCGCGGCCGGAACGCCUUGCGGACGACGCCGACGAACUCCUCGCGCACGCCUGGCGGCUUGGGGCUGCUCAGCACGAGCCUGGCCGUGUCCGGGUGCCUGGAUACACCGAAUGUGGACACCGUCACCGGCGUCUCGACCGCCGCCGCCGUGUCCUCCAUGGCCGCCGCUGCUGGCUACAGUAGCAGCUACUGAAGUGUUUGGGGGAACUCCUCCUCGCCUCGCUGGCUUUAAAGCCGUAGUCUCGGCGACCACGACUCCUGGCGUCUGGCCGGGCGCGUCUUGGAGGGGAGAAUCUCUUGAAGGCGAGGUGACACUGGCACGCGACGACGAUCGCACGAGAGGUUGCGAGCGAGCGAGCGAGAGCUUAGAAUUCCUCUCGUGUAAGCAUCAAAUGUAUGCCCCCGAUCGCGAUGCGAUUCUCGGGAACGCGUGGAUGGACGGAUGCACACAGGAGGAGAGAGGAAUUCUCGUCUCGUCUCGUUUCGCUCUCCUCUCCACUGAGAGGAAGGGGCAGCGCUGCAGGUGUGGGGAGGAGGAGCAAAUUGACCUAUUGCUAUUUAUGGGCUCGGGUGGUGGCACGGUCAUGGACACGGACACAAAGCAGGCCACAUGCAUCGGUGGGCGCCCGGGCGGCAAUAUUUGAGUGAACUUUUUUAUAUUCGGGUAUGAUUGGCUAUGCUGCCUUGCAUCUGGUGACCAGUUCGGAACAAACUGCCUCCAUUAAUUCCAGAUUCUAGCUAUUCCUUCUCAUGAUAGUAAAAAUAAAAAGGAUCGGUCGUGUCUAGCUAGGCAUGUAAUUUGCCUGGACCCAGAUAACUGGUCUUUUAGUCUCUUCUAGCUAAGGACAAACCUGACAUAUAACUUGAGCAGAGAAUUGAUUCUUGUGAAGAGUGGAAACCACAACACAGCAGAAGUCGCAUGACACCCCAGGUUGUUGGGCUGGACAGAGCGAGAGCGGUUUCAUCUUCUCUCCCACCAUUUCUCUCUCCAACCCAAAGCCAUAGAUAGAGUCUAGCGUACUAUAUGUUGUAUUUUUUUUUACUUCUUAACAACGGGGUUUUUAGUGUAGGCGUGUGGCUUGACAUUUUUUUUUCUGACAUAGCUUCUUAGGGUUAUAGUCUUAUGAUUUUUUUCUGCUAUAUUAGUGUGAAACAUUCUUGUGCGGGUUAUUUAAAAAGAAAACAUGAUACCCCACAUAUACCUUCACUAGAUUAGAAUACCAUACAUCACAGUUUACUAGAAAUUUCCCUAUAGGAGGAGAAAACAAAUAAUACAAUGAGAAAGGAUCAUAUCACAUGGUGGCAUACAUCUAACUUUUGCAACCGGGGUUCAAUAUUUCAGAACAGAAUUUCUGAAAUUCCUAUAAUAGUGGGUUUAUGGGUCCCUCAGAUGGGAUAUUAUUUUGGCAAAAAAUCAUUUUUAAUUAAAAACUAUAUUGAAAUGUAAAAAGAAACAGUUCAAAGUUUUAACUUAUUUUAGUUCAAAGUUUUGUUUCUAUCCCCCUUCCCCGCGGAAAUAAAUGCGCAAAAAGAUAGAUUGAACCCGUGUUGCAACAAGAGAACAGUGAACAGAACCAAAACUAGAGCAUUUAUCCAAACAAAUAUUGUUUUCGUGCGAAGUGGCAACUACUUUUGGUGAGAUAAGCCGCGGACAGCUUGGCAGAGGUGGUACUCUACAACAACGAUGACAUGGCAGCGAUGGACAUGUUCAUGUUGAGGAGACAUAGAUUGUCCGUCCAGCAUGAGGCAAGUGCUUGGCGGUGAUAAGACGGUUGUGUGGACUAGUUUUAUCCCCUUCCUUUGCUCAUGGCAGAGUGAAGGAGCUUUUGGCAUGGAGAUGGAAAAGGCGGGCUAGCUAACAAUGUUUGAAGCGAUGAGGAAAAACUUGAAGUUAGUCUUCUAAUAUUUUAUUUUCGGUUGUUUGUUUUUCUAUGUAUCGGUUAUGAGAUGUGGAGUGUAUGCACUCGUGUAACUUUUGGUUGUAUAUAUAUCCAUUUAUGGAAUAGAGGCUGGAUUUUUAUCCAUUAUUAAAAGAAGUUCUCAACUCAAGUAUUCUACAAUCUUCAACAAUUGUCAUACUUUCUACAGUUAUUUUGCGAGGUGGCAAAAACUUCCUUAGUUCCUUGCUUUUAGAGUUCAAACCUCGAUCCAAUCAUCCGAAGGAUCGAAUUGGCAUGAAAGACUAUUGGAUGUUUUCCCUUCAUGUCAAAGUUCUACUAUAUAUUCUCAAGUACCACUACUUGUUUGAAACAGUAUUGCUCUAUGCUACUGCAUACAAAACAAAAAUUAGUAAUGUUAGGGAUCAUGGAAAGAUGACUCAUAUUUUGUUAGAAAAUGCAAGACAUAAUUAACCAAUAUGCUUCACCCAGCCUUGACAAUCACACUUGCAUUGAAGUUGUCCUUUCAUGUUUCUUAUUCCCCAAAUCAACAAAAUUGAAUGCUACUAAACUAUUGGUUCCCUAAGUUGUUUCUUUUGUCCCUAUCAUGUUUCUCUACUAGUUUCACAGCCUUUCUAUUGUUGUAUUUUGACAAUCGUAGCAUUCACAGAUUAAUAAUCGAAAGUUGCACAAUGACACAAUUAAUAAGGACUAGGAUUGUUCUAAAAGAGGACACGAUUCUCUGCUCCGAUAGAAUGUAUAGGCAAGCCAAUGCUUUAUAGCCUCCCUAUACUGGUUCAACUCGCAAAAUACCCACACCCCACAUGCGCACACUCACUACCACCACACGUGGUCUAAGCAUAUAUCGUGGCCAGUGCGGGUGGUGCCGGCAACGGAGGAAGGUUGACGCAGGUGCCGCCGGGAUGUCGGUGCGGGCGACGGCAGGGAGGUCGGCAUGGCCGAUGGCGGGAGGUUGACGCGGUGACGGCAGGGAGGUUGGGUGACAAAGGGUGUGCUACAGAGGCAUGCGAAGGAUGGCCAGUGAGGGGCGUCGGUACAACGAUGUCUAUGCACUGAUAGAGGAUGACCGGUGAUGGAGCAAUGGAGCAAUGGCUGUAGAUCGACAGGGGGUGGGUGAGGUGUUGUCGGUGAUAUGGGCCCGGGAGUACGCAAGAUGGAGGGAAAGAAUCCUUCCAUCUGGCCAUGUGGCCGCGCGGCCUGUUGCCCCCCCCCUCCCGGGGGAGAACGAGUGCUCGUGAAGCGGCCAAGGGGCCUCGGGUUGCCCUGUUGCACCCCUCGGGCCCUUGGAGCGCGCUGCCCCGAGGCCCCCAUGUCACGUCCCAAAAUGACUCUAAAAUACAUCCUCUAAAUUAUGCCUAGAAUAAUUAAAAUCCGUGUGAAAGCCUCCAACAAUUAAAAUGUGCAAAGUUAAAAGUCAAAUAAGGCUUAGAGGAUUUUUGUAUAUUUCCUAAAAGCCUAAAAUGUGUAAAUAAAUUUUAGUGGAAUUUUCAGAGUACAAAUAAUAAUUAUUAAGAAAUAAACAAAGUUAAAAUGAUUUUAUAAAAAGAAAAACCCUAAAAUCCCUCCUUCUCUCUAAUGGGCCGAAUUCGGCCCAUCUCCCUCCCCCUCUCUCUCCUCUCCCCGCGGCCCACUCGGCCUCUCCCCGCGCACGCGCUGCUGACGGGCGGGCCCGCCCGCCACCCUCGCUGACGGGUGGGGCCCACCCGUCAUCCCCUUCCUCCCGCCGCCUCCCCCGCGCCCUAGCGCCGCCGCCGCCGCGAAUCCCGCCGCCUCCCGCCGUCCCCGCGUGCAAUAAAGUGGGGGGAAUCACUCCCCGUGAUCCCCUCUCCCUUUCCCCCCAUUUUUCCCUCUCUCUCUCUCGCGUUCAAACGGGCGGAUUUGCCCCCGCAAAUCUCGCUGGCGCCAUUGAUGGCGGCCGGACCUCCCGCGCCGGUUUCCUUCCCCUCCGGCCGCUCUCUCCCCCUUCCAACCCUAUUUAAACCCUCCCCGCACCUCCUCCGUCCGUUUCCGCCUCUCGCCGCCCUUCCUCCUCGCCGGAUUCGAGCUCGCGACGUCGCUCUCUCUCUCCGCCGUCGCCGCCGAGCUCCGGUCCGCCGCCGCCGUCGCCCCGGACCGCCUCCCACCUCGGCGCCGCCUCCUUCGGCUUCGCUGCAUCCUCGCCGACCUCGUCCACCUCUCCGUUUCGGUCGCCGACCACCGGAACGCCGUCGACCCCGUCGACCCGAGCCGCGCCGCCGCCUCCCUUCGCUCCGGCCGCCUCCUCCGUCGCCACCGUCGCCCCGGGGUGAGCCGUGGACCGUCGCCUCCUUUCCCCCUUCCCUCCCCUCUCUCGGCCGCCGCUCCGCCGCGCUGGUGGUCGCCGGCGGCGUCCAUCGGGGCUCCGGCGCGCCGCCUCCCGCCGACCGCGCCGGCGUGGCCACCCUCGUGCGCGCCGAGUGGCUGCCGCGUGGGGCCCGGCCGUCAGCCGCCCGCGCCCUUGGGUGCGGCUGACGCGUGGGACCCACGGCGCCGGCCGGUGCGAGCCCGGGUGCGCCCGGUCCACCGUGGACCGUGAGGCUGCCGCGUGGGCCCCACUCCCGUGGACCCGGUCCGCGCGCCCCCUCCCCUCGGCUGACGCAAUAAACACUUUUUAAAUAAAAAUUUUAAAUGAAGAAAUUCGCAAAUAUUCAUUUAAAGAGCAUAUAAACUUCAAAUGGCCAUAACUUGGCCAUUUGAACUCGGAAUUGGACCGUUCAAGUCUCUAAUUUUUCCUUAAGAAGUCAAGAACCCAUUUUUGUGCUUUGUUCCUGCUUGUUAUAUGGAUUUUAUUAGAGUAAAAGCCCUUUUAUUUUCCGUUGGUCGUGUAGACGCUGCAGCUUCGGAAGAUCCGCUCUUCGUGGAGGUUGAAGCCGACGUUUGGGAAAGCGAGCAAGGCAAGUCACAUCAUCCUUGAACAUAUUGAAUCCCAGUUUAUAAAAUUAUUUUGAUUUAAAUUAUUGCAUUAUCGCUUUAUUUAAAUUCCCGCGUUAUCACUGUUUUAUCUAGCCAUGCCUAUUUACCUUUGUUAUGACCUUAUUAUUGUUAUUGUUAUUAUUUCCUUGUUCACCCUAGAAUAAACAAAACCCCAACUAGUGGACACUCUACUCAUGGUACCACUAGUAUGAUUUUAGGUAGAUGCUUCGCUGGUUAAUUAGGCAACAUUAGGUGGUUUUACAACUCUAGACUUUGGGAUAUUCAUAUCACCUGGACACUAUGGAAUUGUUGGAUCAUUGUGGAAUUGGAUUCACACCUCCCCUCUAUUCAAAAUCCUCAAAAUGGUUUUAGGCUGGGCUCGGGGUGCAUGGUUUUGAUAGUAGCACCUCGGCCAUAUAAGGACCGGUCUUCGGGCCUCUGUUGCAAAGCACUACCGUACUUCCACAUGUCUAGUGGGUAAGGCUUAGUUUGUGGCUCAGUCUGGUUAUAAACAAAAGUACACGGAUGGAGAUGGACAAAGUCGGGGGUCGAUGGACAUCUCUAGGGCAAAUGAAGGCUACACGAGCUACGGCCCGGUAGUCGAGAUGUCAUGGCAUAGGGCCGAUGUCCUGCUGCUAGGGGCUCAGUCCUGCCUACCUGUCCCGGGGGUUCCGGCCGUAGGUGGGGUUGGGUCGGUACUCUUGUUUAUGGCUAGGAUGGGUUGGAAACUAUGUCAUGUCUUCCGUCCGUAUACCGUGGUGGUAUGUGGCACGUGGUUACACGUGAGGAAGAUGUGACUUGUGGGUAAAGAUGUACACCUCUGAUCAGAGUAUAACCUAUUCGAAUAGCCGCGCCCUCGGUUAUGGGCAAGCCGAGCAAUGUACCCAAGUUAGUGUUUUAAUUCUUAAAACCUGCUUAACAACUAAAAUAUGGAAUGGUUGGCCUGGGUUGGCUUGGGACGAGCUGGGACCCAGGGUCGGGUUGCCAGUUCGGUCUGAAUCAUCGUAGGCCUUGGGUUAAGGCAGGUUCGUGUGGGUUCACGGCCUUGAUUAAUAAUAUUAUAUAGCUCUAGAAUCGUGUUUACAAUAUAGCUUUGAGCAACUAAGUGUCUCUUAAUGCUGUUUAUUGCAAACCCUAACCCCUUAUAUUAUAACCCCCCUUGUACUCCCUUGCAUUUAUUCUGCACUUAUGGGUGUGUCUUGUUGAGUACGGUGGUUGUACUCAGUCUUGCUCAAUUUUUCCCAAACCCAGAAGAGGAGCCCCUGGAUGAUGAAGGCUUUGGUGUCUAGCUCGUGCCUGCCGUCAAGCGCCUGUGGUCGUCGCCCUAGUCUUCCGCUGUUUUUUGUUUGUCUUCUUGUGUGCUGGGUCUUUGCCGCCCAUGUAAUAAAUUAAUUAAUUACGCUUCCGCUUGUUAAACUCUGAAUUGUAUCAACUUUUGGUGUACCUUGCCUCCUGGGACAAGGAAUAAUGCACGCACGUAAGGAACGCCCGUUGGGUUAUUUCCGGUCGUGACACCCCACUCGGCUGCCACGUGGCGGCCGAGUGGGCGGAGGGAGAGGCGCUGCCAAGAGCCUUAAAUGAGCGGUGCCCCAACCGUCCCUCGCCACGUUUAAUGUGGCGUGGGCGGGCGUGAGGCGCUGCCCGAUUGACGUGCGUCAAUUAGGCUUGACUGGUAUGUGACUGGUCACAGGCGGAUGGGUCGGGUGGCAGCACACCCACGUUCCGCCCCUGUCAGGCGGAGUGGGGGCAGGUAUGCCCCGUCUGUAACGCUCCGCUUUUCGUGAGACGUUAAAAACUAAUUCGGCAAAAUCCUAAUUGCGAAAAUUUUCGUUCUUUGUGUGUGAGUCUAAGUUCUGCCAAGAUCUCAAUUCAAAUUUGUCCUUGAUCCCUCUCGUCGCCAUCAAAAUUCCCCCUCCUCAAAUUGUCAAUUCCGAUUCAACUUCCUAAGAUCAAUUCCGAAAUUCAAAUCCUUCCUUGAAUCCUCGCCAAAUACUUCUCCGAAUCCAAAAUUAUUCAAAUCCCGUCUCAAAUCCUCCCCUUGACUCCACCUUAUGUUCCUAGAGUCCAAGUAUCAAGGUUAAAUUCCAAAAUCCUUCUCAAAUUCUCUCCAAUCCAAAUUCCAAUCCCAAUAUCCUCCCAACUCAAAUCUAUCUGCAGAAGUUUAUUUUUCCUCCCUCGGGUGUUGUGGGCCGUUUUCCCCUCAGCCCACUUCCCUCUCCCAGCCGCUCUCCCCUUCCCUCGUGCGCCGCUCGCGCGUGCGCCAUGGCCAAGAGAGAGAGCUCUCUUUUCUCUCUCUCGCUCUCUCUCUUCUCUCCCGAUGCCCCAUGCCGCUACCCUCCAAAGACGGGAGCCAGAGCUCACGCUCCCCUCUCUCUCCUCCCAGAACGGCAUGGACGAGCCUCCCCUUUUUCUCCCUCUUUUCCCCUUUUACCCUCUCAGACUCGACCUCUCUCUCACGCCCAUGCCCAUGCGCACGGAGGCAGAGCGCUGCUGACGCCGCACGUGUCACAUCCUGAUUUUUGUUUCAGGAUUUAUAAAUUAUUUAAUAAAUUAUUAUUAGAAUUUAUAUUAAAUGUUCAUUAAUUUACAAGUGAAGUUAAAUGUGGGAAAUAAAAUUUCCUAAAUUUAAAGCAUGGAUGGAUUUAAUUUUUUUAUUAAAUUCUCCAUGGUUAAUUACACUCUCUGAAAUUUUCUCGGAUUUUUCAGAGCUCAAUUCCUAAAUGAUACAAAGAACAGUCCAGUAAUUAUUUGAUCAUUAAUGAUCUAAUUAUAAUUGUUAAGAGCUUUUCUUGUUUAAAAAUCCUUAAAUUAUAAAUUGUUGUUUAAAAGGAAUUAUUAGAAAUGAUCUUAAAAGCCUAAGAGAGAAGAUCUAAUUUUAAUUAAUAAAUUCCAAUAUAAAAUGGGGCCAGAUAAAAUUUCAUUAAAUACUUUACUUGAUUCUAUAGUUCCUAGAUUUUUCUAGGAUUUAUUUGAGCCAAGGAAGUAUUUUAAUCAAUGGAAUAUCAUUUCAUGAAUAAUUUAAAUUGAAAAAGGUUUUUAAAGUCUCUUUUGGCUUUGGGCCGAAAGCCGGCCCAAAACCUCUCUCUUUCUCUCUCUCUCCUCGGCCCAGUCGGCCCAGCCCGUCGUCGUUUCCUUCUCUCUUUCUCCUCGGCCCAGUUGGCCCAACCCGCCGUCGUUUCCUUCUCUCUUUCUCCUCGGCCCAGUCGGCCCAGUCCGCAGCCGCAGCCGCUCGCGUGCGCGCUCGCUGUCACUGACAGGUGGGUCCCACCUGUCGGACUCGUCGUCUACCUCCGGCCGCCGCCGCCCGAACCCUAGCCGAGCCGUGCCGCCGUCUCCUUCCAAAUUCGGCUGCGUCUUUCCUUCUCCGGUGAAAUCAAUAGAGGGGAAACGAUCUUCUCGAUCUCCUCUUCCUUUUCUCUUAUGGAAUCGUCGCCUAAUUCGGUUUGGAAAUCCGUGGAUUCGAGUUUGAUUCGGAUUCGUUUCUCUCUCUCGAACCCUAGCUUUCCUUCUCGCCGCCGGUCGCCGUGGGCCUUCGUCGCCGCCUCCUUGCCCCUAUAAAAGCAUCCCCGAGCUUCCCUCUACCCGCCGCCACCCUCGCCUUCGCCUCUCGUCGCCUGUAGCGCCCUAGCGCCGUGCCGCCUCGAGCCGCAGUCGUCGCCGUCGCUCUAGCCGUGCUUCGCCGUCGCUCCAGCUGUGCUUCGCCGUCGCUCCAGCCGUCGCCGUCACUUGGGAAGGUCGCCAUCGUGGUCGCCGUCGUGUCGCCGUCCUCGUCCGCCCCUUCGCCGCCGCUGUAGACCGCCGGAGCAUCGCCGUCGUCGUCAAGCCGAAGGACUCCGCCGUCUUUUCCUCGACGCCGCCGCCGUUCGUUCAUCUUCCGCCGUCGUUUUGGUCAUCAGUGAGUUCGCCGCGCCGCGCUCUACGUCCUGGUGCUCUCCGUUCGUGCCGUCGCGCCGUCGUUCGCCGGCGAGCUUGCACCGCCCGAGCCGCCGCCGGUGGUGACGUCAUCGCUGACGUCAUCGUCGUCGUUCCCCGUGGCCCGGUCGUGGAUCCGUUGGAUCUUGGCCGUCCGUUUUGGAUGGAUGGAUCUCGGCCGUUCGUUUCCGUGAGCCGCCGCCAUGCACCCGGUCCACCAUGAACCCUAGCCGCUGACGCAAUAAUCCUCUUUUCCUUUUCAAAAAUAAUUCAUUAUUGCGUCAUAAUUCCAUUAAAAUCCAUAUAAGUGUUUUAAUCCAAUUUAAUCUUUAAAAAUUCAUAACUAAUUCUUUGUAACUCAGUUUAAUGUGGUUCAAGUUGCAAAAGUUGUAUAAAAUAAAGAUCUACAUAUUAAAAUUAUCCAUAAAUAGAAUUAAAUUUAUUUAAUUCUUUUUAAAUGGGCUUUAAUUAGAUUUAAUUUUGUAAAAUUCGUAAUAAAUUCAUUUGAAGUCAGAAUGAGGCCGUUCAAGUCUCAUAACUCAUCUAAAAUUAUGAUCUACAUGUUUGUUUACUUUAUAUGUAUUGUUUAUUUGGAGUUUCUUAGUCUUUUUCUUCGUUUUGCGUGUUAGCUUGUCGUUUUCGUCGUUGCGAAGGUUCGUGAGUGCGUCGGGAGUGUUCAGAAGAUUAAUUGAAGACCGAUUAUUGCAAGGCAAGUCACACAGAUCCUAAACACAAUACCUUUGAGCAUGUUGAUCCUAUAUUUAAAUUCUCUAUUUAUUUCAACUGUGCAUUUAUUUUCGAAUGUCACCGGGUGGUGUGAACUUAUUCCUUUGUUAUGGCCAAUUUGCAUUGAUUACUUUAUUCCUUGAUACCUUGGGUUAUUAUAACUUGACUAGUUGAGCUUUAUAUAUUGGUUCAGCUAGAUAUUAGAUAUGAUUGCUUAGUCAUGCUUAGAAACAAUAGCACACUAUUGGGAUAACUUAUGACUCACUAUUAUUUAAUGAUGGCUUAAUGAUAGUUCACGAUGGUCAAUCGUGAUUGGUUAAUUAAUUACUUGCCAACUAAAACUUGAUAAUGGUGGGUUGUGAGCACAUGGUUUUGAGAGUCGUGCUCAUGGCAAUUAAGGACCGGUUCGCGAGCUACUAUUGUGAAACAUUAACCGUGCCAACCACAAGCCAGCGUGGGUAACGACUUUACCUUUUGUAUAGCAUGGUUCAUUGCGGAGCACCAGACUGAGAAGUGGCGGAGAUAAGCCCACGGGGGUCGCUGGGGAGUCCAUGCCUUGUUUUAUAAGGGGGUGAUUAUGAUCCAGGAAUGGUGCACUGUGGUGAGUUGUGUUGUGCAGAGGGUAUUGUCACAGCCUCUAUUCGGGUACUUUCCAGUAUCGCGACGCAUGGUAGACAUGAUGUUGAGGCUGUGUCUUGUGGGUACAGUGGUACACCUCUAGCCAGAGUAAAACUAUUCGAAUAGCCGUGCCCGCGGUUAUGGGCGGGUUGAGCAAUGUUUUUCGUGAUUAGUCUCACACCUCUCACAAUAAUUAUGGAUGUUUUACCUGGUAAUAAUUUGCUUAGCUCCUGGUUUGGAGUUAGAUCUGUACAGCCGGGUUUGGUUGUUCAGGAUGGUUGGGCCUGUGCAGCAUGGGUGUGUUGUUUAGUGUUGAUUAAAAUUUCUGAUUAAUUACUCCACUGUUUUACUUCUCUUAAAUGUUUUGCUAAAUGCUGCUCUUGCAAAUAAGCCUAUAUUAUGCCAUCCUUUGGUAUCCUUGUGCACUUGCAUAUUUGCUGUGUGGCUUGUUGAGUAUGUCAUAUGCUCAUUCUUGCAAUAAUCAAUCAACCUCAGUUGAAGAAAAAGGAUCCAGAAGGAGAAGACGUUUGGCUUAUGCCCCAGUUGAGUUGCCUGUGGGAGUGGAGCUGAAGCCAUCGCUAGACCGUUAUUCCGCUGCUGUUUUCUUUUCUUUUGUAAGUGAGUAACGUUAUUAUUAUGAUGGAUUUGUAUAUUAAAUUGUCAGUUUGUGUACCUCGGUUGAUUCCUGGACGAGGAUUUUAUACACAAAUAAGUUCGGAAAUUACUAGUGAAUUUCCGGGCGUGACAGCACGCUAGUUCGCCGCCCCCACCUUGACCACGCCAAGCCGCGCCAGCCCGCGCUCGCGGUUCAAUUUCCGCCGCUCGAUCCACCGGCUUCGCCGCCCAACACAUCCACACCGUCGCCGCUUUCGCACCGCCCACGAAACCGCCGCGGCCACCAGCCGAGCGCUUGACCGCCAAGGUCGGUUCUCCCCUCCCAAACCGACUUCGCCACCUAUAAAACCCAAUGCCGAGCCCCCUCCCCAUCCCAUCCUCUCUGUUCCUGCCUCGCACCAUCGCCGCCUUGUUGCUGCCCCUGCCCUGCAGUCGCCCUCGCCGUCCGUCGCCGAAGCACCAGGGAGACUGGUGCGUGCGAGGACGCGAGAUGAGGACUACGGGCACCCCUCUUCUUCCCCUUCCCCGGCCCGAGGCCGGAGAGCUCGCUCCCGCGCCGUCGGCCGCUCGUCACAGCGCCCGUCUCGGCUCGGUAGUGCACACUCUCCGUUCUCCCUCCUCGCUCCCUCUCCUCCCCUUAGCUCCGGGAAGUAGUGCGAGUAGCCUUCUAGUAACUAGCUGGCGCUACCCCGACCGCCGCCGCCACUCGCCGUAGGCUCGCCGGCCAUCUUGCUCUGUCCCGGAGGCCGCCUCUCGUCGUCAGCCUCUCUCAGUGUUCCUCCGCUCCAUCCGAGGUUGGGAAUGCAUUCCCUCGGUCCCGGUGGUGCUCCCGCCGCCUGGAAUCGAGCCCUCGUCGACCGCCGCCACUUUCCCUCUUUCCUCGCCGCCGACGAUCGCCGUCGAAAUCCGCCGCCGUCGGCUCCCCUUUUGUCAAUUCCUCGUGCCGCCACCCUCCUUGAGCACCUUGACUCUCCCCGAACCGCCGCCCCAGCUGCCGGCCUUCUCCUUUGCUUCCGCGCCGUGCCGCCUUCUUCCGCCGCCGCAUAGCGCCACCGCGCAUGCGUUGCUGGUGACCUUCGGGUCCCGUGUCGCAAUUCCUUUUCGCGUCAGCUAAGCCCAACCCCGCGCCCCUUUGUCCCUUCUCUCGCUCGUGCGCAUCGGCAUCCUGGCGAACUUCGUCACCGCUGCCGGCCGCCGUCGUGUCCCCUCUCUCCAAUCCAAGCCAUGGAAUGAGUUCCCCGUAUUCUCUUCCUUCUGCCGGUGCCCGCAUCUCCCUCCGGCUCGCCGUCGUUCGCCGGAUUCCGCCGCACGCCGUGAGCCGUCCGAUGAGCCGCCCGGCCUCCUCUCCCUUCCCCAUCCGAUGUGACAUCCACGUUGGCGCCACCUCAGCCAUCGGCCCCGCUUGACCGGGUCAAGCCGGCACCCAGUUAGCCGCCCACUCCUCCCCCUCUCUCCCGUGCUUGUGGGCUUGGCCCAUCAGCGCACCUUCCCCUUGGCCCCUUAAAGCGAACAAAAGUCUACUUUUGCUUCCUCAGUCCAAGCCCAGUGCCCACACACAUGAACAAAAGUCCAUUUAGUCCCCCUUUUGUACAGUACACCCAUGGUCCCGCUCGCUAGUGAGUGUCAAUAAUAUUCUUGAGAAUAUUAUUUCUAUAAGUUCCAUAAACCAUUUCUCGUAUUCUAGAAAAUCCCGACGAAUCAUUUCCUUAUUCGGAAAUUCCAGUUAAACUUCCAAAACUCAUAUCUCUCGAUCCGUAACUCCGAUUGACUCCGUUCAGCUUCCAGUACUUUCGUAAAGUUGAGAUCUAUCUGAUGGCACUAUUAAUUAGUCUAAAUAGGAUUUUUCUUUUGGUCCUUGUUUAGGUUUUGAUUGUUUGCGUAUAGUCACAGUUACUGGAUUUUCGUCAAUCGCGGGUUUUCUCGAAGAUACGUGAAGCUUCGUGAAGACCUUGAGCAAGGCAAGUCACCCUUUGACCAAUUGCUCCUAUAAUUGGAAAAUCAUUAUUAUUUUGUUUGCAACUUGCAUUAUUAGAAUCACUCACACUUAACUUGCUGGCCUCGGUUUGCGUGCCAAACCGACGGACCAACCCAGUAGUCGCACUACUUCCUGUAGGCUGAUAUACAUUAAUUUCCUUGUCGCUCCACCCUUGUGGUACUUCGGUAUCCAUGCUCUUUGAGCGCGUAUACCAAAUAUCCCACAUACACCGUUGAUUGUCGAAAACUUGGGAAAUGGGUUUGAGAAGCCUUGAAAACCCGACAUGUGGUGUCGGCAUGUUUGAAAAUAAAAUAGAUUGUCAAAACUCGCGAUGCGGGGGUUGUGCCUAUGUGGCACUGUCCCGUAUUCGCAUAUAAGGAUCGAUUCCUGUGCGAAAUUCAUCCGAGCAUAUAGCAAGUGCGACCACAUGUGUGAAAUGUGACACCCCUGGCUGAGUAAUUAGCUAAUCGGGGGAGCCUUGAUGCCGAGAGAAGUGGAUUCUCCAGGGUGGUGUCGGGUAGGACCCCUAGGCUUCCUGGCACAGUAUGGUCUGGGACCUAACCUGUUGUUAGUCUGGGACCCCUCUCGUUGGCAUAUGGUAAACCUGUGUCGGCUCUCGAAAUGUCUUGUCAUGAAAGCCUUAAGGUCUCCCGACGUGGCUGAUCUCACGGGCUGGGUGAUCCGGGUUAGUAAUGUCGUGUGGGUAAAGUGUACCCCCUCUACAGAGGUUAACUAACUGUUCGAACAGCCGUGCCCACGGUCAUGGGCGGAUGUGAGGUGUUUCCUGUAGCAUAGAUUUGUUUGCCAGUGCUUUGUGAAAAGUUGUUGUGGUUUGGGAAUCGUUACCAGAAUAAGCCUAUGUGGCAGAUGGAUGACCUGAGUGGUCAAGGAACGAAUUUGUGUGAUUCGGGAUGUCUACGGGCAUCAUAGACUAGGCUUCCCAAGUGGAAGCGGAUUGUUGUGCUGUUGGGCAGCUGGACUCUGGGAGUCCGAGAAAAUGAAAAGGCUUUGGGAGCCGAUUAAUCAAGUGAAAUGGCUCUGGGAGCCGAGAAGUAAUGAUCUGACCCGGGAGGUCGGUACAUUACCAAUUGAGUUGUUGAAAAGCAUCUCUUAAGUCGAGUUGAGACACAAGUCUCUUUUCGACCCAAACUUAAAAAGAAAUAAAUCACUUAGUGAUUCCAAAAUGCUUUCAAACAAAAGAUUUGCAAAACGACCUUGCCUCUCUUCCAAGCUUGCAUUAAACACCUAAAUUCCCGUGACUUGCUGAGUACGAAAGUACUCACCCUUGCUCUAUAUAAAUAUAUAUAGUUCCUCCGCCGUGAAGUUGAAGAUGAAGUAAAGUGAAGAUUAGGGUUUCGUCCUGGUUCCUAGCCGUCGUCUGUGGUGUUGGGUGUUAGUUCAUUGGUUCCGCUGCUGCUGUUGUUGUUGGUGUUUCCUUGUCCGUGUCGUCGGUUGCAUUCUCGGGCUUUUCUGAGCUGCAACCUAAGUUAAGAUAAAUAAGUCCUUUAUUUAUUUUAAGGAUUGCAAUGAUUAAUAUUGUCACCGUGGGUACCAGCGCUAUGUUCUGGGACUGGUACUGAGAUCGUGGUUUCGUAGGAAGCGGUUCGCGCCGUUUUUCCUACGACACGCUCCUGUUAGGUGCCGUUGUACGGCGGUACCGGAUUAGGGUGUGACAGAGAUGGUAUCAGAGCAUAGGUUGGCCCUAGGAUUGAAACCCCUGAAUAGGAUGGCACUAUUCUAAGGUGUCGUUGUCCCCUUUAGCUCUAGUUUUGUGAAAAAUCUUUUUGUGUCCAAAAGUUGAUGCUAGUCGCUUGUUUUGCUUUUGACCUAGAGUAAACCUGUCUUCACGCCCAGUUGAAGGAAGGUGUGCUCAAGCCUCUAGGAGUCUUAGUUAAGUCUUAGUGACAGGUCAUGCGUAGCAGUGGUCGGUACGGUGCUAGCUUUCUUAUAGGUUCUGUGUAGGUGUUGUUGGUGCGUGGGGGUGAAGUUUUUUUUUUGGUUCUUAGCUAUUGCCUUUCCAGAGUGCUAGUCUUUAUAAUUUUUUUCUUCUUUAUUAAAUGAAACAACAUACCGUUUGGUGUUGUUCGUAAAAAAAAAAAACAGAGAGAGAGAGAGAGAGAAAGACAUCGUAUACCAUCUGUAGCCACUAGACCACGUCAAAAAUGUAAACUUCGGCGCUGUGUAUGCACUCACUACUGUAGCUAAUUAUAGACAAAUGAUGGUACAGACAAACAUUAGGUCAUGGUAAUUAAGGCAGGCGUGGCCCAUGUAGCAAAUUUGUUUUGUCAUUGUUUCUGCCUGUUUUAGUAGUCACUGAUAGCCCAUUAUGACUAACUGUGUGGUGUGGGUGUGGUAGCAAUAUAUAUUUUGGUCAACAAAACACUGAUUUUGUGUCACUGCUGACGGCACAAUUUGCAGACGUAGGUAAUUGCUCAUUAUAAACCACAGAAAAAGCUAGCAAUAAUAUUAUGUUGACAUUGGCAGCUUGUAAGCGCACGUGACACGAUCUACACCAAUGAUUAAGCGAGUACUAACGAAACAAGGAUAGUUGAAUCCUCCACAUUGAUCAUUGAUGCAACCGGCAAUGCAAGUACUCCCUCUUGCAAGUCAGAUAUGGAUAAUGAAGAAUAAAAUCGAACCAGUAAGAACGAUGUUACUAGAUUUAUCCUAAACAAACUACCAUAAUACAUAAAUUUUUGUGAGAUAACUUACUUUUAUGAAUAUUAUUGAUCAAAGUAACAUAUUUUCUCGAAAACCAUAUCAAAAUCUAUCUUUUAUUUGAAACAACUUAUUUUUAUGAAUCUUAUUGAUCAAAGUAGCAUAUUAAAAACCAUACCAAAAUCUAAAGAUAUUAAGAUACUUAUAUUUUGGUACGGACAUAUACUAUAUUCUCAUAUAGUGUAUUUAAUGUUAUUUCUCUCUUCUCUCGUUAAGCCACAUCAGCCUAAUUAUUUUUAGCCUUUGGAUGAUAGUAGUUUUAUGGUUCAAAUUGUCUCUUAUUUCUUCUCCCAUACAACUAUGUAAUCUUAAUUAUUUUUAGGAUCAAAAUUCAUCAGUAUCAAUUAGUUCUAAUAAUCAUAUCAUACAACUAAUUUCCUACAGCAACAUGGUGGAGUAUUUAUUUAUGUAAACUUGUCGUGUCAAAGCCUUUCCAGCACUGAACGCUGCAGGAAGGUGUUCUCUGAUUCUCUUCUUUUUCAUGGUCACUGCAUACUUUUUUGUGUGGCAUAAUUAGGAUUAUCUUAUUUGGAAAAAAAAAGAAAUUUUGACGACAUGUUUACAAUACGUUGGCAUACCAUGAACCUGAAACCUUUUUUUUCCUUUUCAAUUGAUUUUGAUCUCUCCGUACCACCUCGUGAAAUGUGAGUCUCGAGAGUGGUGGAUCUAGCGUAAGACGAAAAAGCUCCAUAAAAAACGAACAAAACACAUAUUGUAUUAUAUUUAUAUUACAAUACAGAAAAAAAAACACCAUCAGUAAAUUAAGUUACAAAAGAAAAUCAGUACAAAAUAGAGUGCAUUUCCUGAGUCACCUAUCUCUAAACGGAUGCUAUAUAAGGCACGGGCAAACGGGUAAUAAAAUUUGAAAAUAUAUCUUUUUUUUUCGUACUUUAUGUUUAUAUACACGGGCGAAAGCGGAACGGGGGUGCGGGACCGUCGCUCGCCGCGCGCUCCCGCGUCACCGUCGCGUGGGACCGAAACGGUCCCGCGUCACCGUCGCGUGGGAGGCAGCUGCUGCCGGCGAUGCAUGCAUGCGAUUUGCUUGUCACGCUUGCGAUUUGCUUGUCACUGAUCAGCGGGACCGUUCGGUCCCGCAUCCUCGUUCGCCCAUUCCGCGGAUUGAGUACGUAUAUUUUUGCAAAUUAUGUCACAUGUAUAUAAACGCAAAAUAUAGGAAAAAUAUAUUUUCAAAUUUUAUUCAGCAAACGGGCACCACAUUACAGGCUACAGGGCAGACCGGUAGAGUCCGCCGCGUGCCUGUGGACCCAUACCACAAGAUACAAGUUUCACGGUACAUGGUAUGAUAGGCUAUGCUUUUAUAUUUAUUUUCAAUGAUCUUGUAGGAUACCAUGCUAAAGUUUUGUAUAAUAUAUAUACUUCUCGAUAAUAUAAGAAUAAAAUUUAUUACUAUAUUAUAUGUGCGUACAAAGGUAGAUGUUGGAGAUGUAAACCAUUUCAAUUAUAAAAAAAAAGUACAAUGCGUAUUUUUAAGUAAGGUCGAAGUUGCAUGGAGCUGCCUUGCAUUUAGUUGUUUUUUAGACAUUGUAAUAUAAUAUGAGUAAUAGUUCAGAGUAUUUGAUUUUUAAGGAAAUCAAUUUUUUUCUUAUGAAUCCGCCGCUGAUUCUAAGAAGGGCACUUAUCCAUUUCCAGCUUGCUUUUAAUGGCACAUAUAUAUAUAUAUAUAUAUAUAUAUAUAUAUAUAUCACGUAUUGUUGUUGGUAGACGAGUAGGCCCAGUUCUGACGUGAGGUGAAUCUUUCUCCGCGUCCCUUGGAUAAUACUUGAAGCCGUUCAACAUCAUAAUUUUAAAUUGGUAAUGGUUGCAUCAGUAGUGCUCCAUUACUUCGAUUCCCUUUAUCUGCUGUGCUUCCUCAGUUCCUCUGUUGUUCACCGGGACCGGGACCUGGUGGAGAAUGAAAGCAUGUUUAGUUCCCAACUUUUUCUUUAAACUUUUAACUUUUCUAUCACAUUAAAAUUUUUCUACACAUAUAAACUUCUAAUUUUUUCAUCACAUCGUUUCAAUUUUAAUCAAACUUUCAAUUUUAACGUGAACUAAACACCCGAAAUAAUCGUGUCUUGUUCAAAGAAAGCAGGAUGAAGCAUUAUAUUAGCUUUAGGAAAUUAAAGGCACUCAGAAUUUUGUAGUUCUAGCUAUCCUUUCAAAAGAUGAUAAUUUUGUAGCCUAAAAAAUAGUAGCGGCACCGUUCACACCUAAAUUUGUUCUUAUUUUUCUCAAUGUGUCUCAAUGUGUAGGCUGAAUUUAAAUUUGAUUGGACUGAUAAAUGUCACUAUGUUCUACAUCAUUAAUUGUUUUUAGAAAUUUUCACAACUAUUUUCAUCUGAUUUAAAAGAAAAAGAUAUACAACGGGACAGCCACUCAAUAGACUGUACGAGGGGAGAUUGAGAAAGUCCGGAAUAAAAGGUGGCAAAGGGAACCACACAUAUUGGAGAAGGCAGCAAUCAAGACUCAAGAGGGCUGGUCAAAAGAGGUGUGGAAAGGGGGCAUGUAGUCUAAGAAACGAAUAUUGAUGUGGUUGCGAAGGUAUUUCAUGAAACGUUAAUAAAGCAUCGGAAAAAUAUUUCUAAUGGAUAUAAACCAUCAUUAUAUUUUUCUUAACAAUUUUCCUUUCUUGUUGGUAAGGAGGUUUGAUUGGGAACAAGCUCGACGUAGAUAGGCUGUUUCAGAAAAUAUUUUCCCUUUUUUAAGAGAGAGAGAGAGAGAGAGAGAGGGGGGUGUUCAUAGAUGUAUGUUUUUUCUUUCCUCUGAUCGUCUGCUAGUACUAAAUUUUAAUAACUAAUUAUGCAGACAUGGUAUAAUUCAAAGCAUUUAUUAGCUUAAUCAUUUCCACUUAUUAAUUAGCAUCAGUAGCCGAUCUAUCACCAUCACCAUGACUAUUGAAUUAAUAAGGAUUCUUGAUGGAUUGGGUACACAUAGACUUUGAGAAUUAUAGACGUUUAAGGAACAUUAUGGAACAAGUGCCACAAGGCCACAUCUAGGUAUACAUGUUGGUGAUAUCUCCACUACGUGAUUAUAUGUAGCACUCUGAUUUUUUAAAUAUAAGUUAUUUAGACUUUUACAUGAGAAUUAAGGAAACAAUUCAAUAUUGCCCCCAUUUUAGACUAUAUUGAAACAAAAUACGGAGUAUGAUUAAUUUAUUUAUGAGAGGGGUAACACAUUUAUUUGAGAAAAGAAAAUACGAGAGAAAAUAUGACAAAAGUACCUAGGAUUUCAAAAAAGGGGUUACAUUUAAGAAAGAGAUGAAAAAGGCUAAAAUGGCCUACAUUUGUAAUCUGAAGGAGCAAUUCUUUCAAUUAACAAUUGACUAGUAUUAGCAUGGAAGUGAUAUUGCACUGAAAAGAGAGAGAAGAACCUUAUAGGGUCAUGGGGAUAUAGAUAAGUGCUGUAACCAACUUAUAUAUAUGAGCCUGAAAAGAACAUCUUCCACAAUUACCUGCUUAUUAUUUACUUAUUCGUUGAAGUGGUAGAUAGAGUAUGUAUAUCGGUAUAUGAACCACUCGCACCUGCAAAGUAUAUGGCACAUAAUGUUUUUUACUUCAUUACAACGUCAACUGAAACGUCUCUGAAUAAAAGAAAAGGACAACUGAAAGCUUGAGACAAUAGCAACAUUUUCAUUUAUUUUUCCAAAUCCUACCUAAUUUUGCUCGUACCGUGAUUCAAUAAAAACAAAGUGUCGAACUAAGUAAAGUGAGCCAAGUUUUAAAAUUACGGAUGAGUUUGAGGAGAAGGGGACAGAGAAGAUUUAAAAGAUACGUAAAACGAGGUGAGCCAUUACCACAUGAUUAAUUGAGUAUUAACUAUUUUAAAUUUUAAAGGAUUAAUAUGAUUUUUAAAGCAACUUUUCUAUAGAAAUUUUUUUUACAAAAAACGCACUGCUUAGUAGUUUGGGAAGCGUGCGUGCGGAAAACCACGUGUAGUUCAAUUACUGGAGGAAUAAGUUUGCAACGAUCGACAACCUAUAUAUCCCAACUGAAGAUUGCGUAGCGUAUUCUCAAAAACUUAAAACAAAACAAAAAAACCUGAAGCUUGCGUACACCUCGGACGAUGCAUACUUAUCACUCCAAUCAACCCAUAUUGUUUUAGAUAAUGGAACAGUAUAACCAAUCAAUUCACAUGCUGUGAUGCUGAUCACGAUUAUCCAAACUGAGCUACUUGUUAAUUAGAUUAAGUUACAGCAGGCUCAAUCAUGUCGCAUAUAUUAGGCCAAUAAUUUCAUCAGAAUACCUGCAAUAAGGCAGUAGAAUAAUGUGUUCCACAUCAGAGAGCAAACAAGUAAACCUUUAAUUAGUAGUAGUAUUCUGUUUCCAUGUUGAUAUACUAACACAUUGAUUGAUUCUCAAAGUCAAAUGUAGCCAAGUCCAAUCUUAUAUAUGUACUUAUCGAUGGGAGAUAAGCACAUAUAAGCUAGUCAUCUACCUACGUCCACAAGUGGAGAAGAAAAACACGCGAAGCUGCACUAUUCCAAAUACUCACACCGAUUUUUAGUGUUUAACGCCAAUAAAUUUUAAACAUAUGUUUGCCUAUUUAUCUUAUUAAAAAAAUAUAUAUGCAAAAAUGUAAUCAUGUUUAAAUGACCUUAAAUAAAAAAAAGUUGACUUAUGCUUUUGAAAAUGCCAUGAGCUUUUUCAUUAGUUUUACUAUCAUGCAUGAACUCUUUAGUUUUAGGUAUCCUAAAAUUUAUUAAUUCGUAAAUUUCGAAUUAAUAAAUAUAAAGAAUAUGUGCUCAUGCAUUCCGAGCUUUUAAUUUAGUAUUUUGUUAAUUUAAUUUCUAAUUUCGAAAUUAAUAAUUAGCCAAUUGAAGUGGACUCCUUUUCUUUAUCUAAGCCGCUAUUUAGAAAACAACCAAUGCAUUUAACAUAUAAUUAAAACUUUAAUAUUUAUACUAUUUCAUCCAUUUUAAAUUACUUAUCGUUUUAGUUUUGUCCUAACUCAAACAUUUGUGUAUUUUUCAAUCAAUUUCUGAAAAUUUAUAUAGUUUAAUUUCAUAUGAUUUUUGUUUCUAGAUUCAUCUUGAAAAAUACUUUCGUGAUAUAUAACUCAAAUGUUAUUAAAAUAUACGAUUUUUUAAGAAACUAAUGGUAAAAGAUAACAUAUUUAAUUUAGGAUAAAGUUAAACUGAUAAGUAAUUUAAAAUAGAGAAACUCAAAGGAUCGAUAAACGGAGAGAGAGAAAAAAGGCUCGAAGCUAACAAGCUAGCGUCAUGCUUAUCUGACAAGUUCUUUGAAAAAUCCUACAGUACUUUGAGGAGGUACAUGGUUAUCUCAAGUACUUCAUCCUUCGCGAAAUAUACUCCCUUUGAUUAAAAAGACUUUAUUUUUUGUUAUCUCACACAUACCAAUAAAAAAACUAAAAUGCUCUUCACUUUUUUAAACUCCGAUAUAUUUGUCCAGCACAUUUUUAAACUCUAAUGCAUUUGUCUGCUAUUUUCUCAAACUCCAAUACAUUGAUUCUCUUAAAGAUAAAGUCUUCGUGGAGCAAAUAACUCCUAUACAAACUUAUCCAUCACAUUUUUAAACUUUAAUGCAUUUGUCCAUCAUUUUCUCAAGCUCCAAAUACAUUGAUUCUUUGAAAUAUGAUGUCAAAUAAAAUAGAGUAACAAUUUUUAGCCCUUGAAAUGGCUAUUAAGUACAAGUGUAAAAGACUUGUUUUUCUACUUGGUGGGUUCCGUGCAGAGCUAGGCUAGUUGGGAUAACAAUGAAGCCAGAGGGUAGUACGAGUGUAUGAGUAGUUUGCUGAUAGAAAUCAUCUUUCGAAGAUUGUUAUAUUUGAGAUACCAUUUGAACUCUAGAAGCAUGCUAUAUCCCAAAAUAUAAAAAGUAUUAGGGUUAAACACAUGUAUUAAGAAAAUAGGUAAAACUAAAUGAGAAAAUGUUGUGUUUAGUUAAAACAGGAAAUAAAUGGAUACAUUAAAAGUUAGAAGGUUGUCAUUGGGUGAAAACAAAAUGUAUGUGGAGAAGUUGUCAUAAUAAGAGAUAAAUUUUGAAUGCUAUAACUUCUAUAUUUUGGGAUAGAGGAAUCACCGAACUUUACAAUAAAAAAGUGAGCACAUACCAUAAAAUCACUUAAAUUCUUUGCAUACGGCAUGCUGUUAGCUACCACCUCCGUUCCAAAAUAUUAUAACAUCUGUCCAAAUUCGUUGUCUUAAAAUUGAUCAAAUUUUAUCCUAAAUCGUAAUAUUUUGGGAUAGAGGAAACAAUAGGCAUAAAGAAAGCUCUGACUCUAUGUAUUGUCAACAUUGGAACAUUAAAAACAAAAGGACAACAAUGUGCGUAUGCACAAGUGUCGCGAAAUGACGUUAAAAGUGCUCGUUGGCCAGCUGGAAAUUGACCAAGUAAAUUUGCUGUUGCGAGCCGGGUGUUCGUUUCAUUUCUGAAGCAACUCUUGAAAGUUCAACAAUGGGGAUCGCCACCUGUAUACUCGUCAUCAUCAGCUGGCUAGCCAUAAUUAAAAAAGACAAGGAAAGAGUCGUUGACUCGGAGGAUGUACACGUUUGCACCUACGUGGAAGCUAUUUUCCAACAAGAUAUAUUUGGAUCAUCAGAUCAGCGUGCGGUAGCUAGAGCUGGUGAGUGGUGACUAGCCAGGUCAUUGUCUCCUAUUCGAGUUCUCUUUUUUUUUUGUUGGCCUUGCAGUGGUUAGUUCGGUGCUAGUAUUCUCCCGGUUUAUGCAUUGGUAUUAUCGGUGUGUGGGUGAUGGUUGUUUUUCUUCGUUUUUCUGGUUAAUUAUGACCUCCUAGUAUUGUAAUCUUAUAUUUUUUUUCUCUAUCGAGUCGUUAAAAAAAUAAGUACUGGCCCUAUGCAGUUGUGCUAGUUGUAGUUUAUGUUGAAACAAAAACGGAGUUUGGUGCUAUGCAGAUGUGCUAGUUGUAGCUUCUGUCAAACCAAAAACGGUUUAUCUAUUAUCUUAGAAGAAAAAAAAUGACAGUCUUUCCCUAUAGCUUAAAUAUUUUGGGCUGAACUAAACUACGGCAUCAAGUUAAUUAAAGGCGUCGAAUUCAAAUAUCUUAACUGACACGCAAUUAAAUAAAAAAAAUCGUUGCUCACUUUUAUUACUCGUUUGGAUUAGCUCAUACACAAUAUAUUAUAGAGAAAAUCCCUUCCGUGCCUCUGAAAACUCGCCCAAUACCUUCCAUACCCUUGAAUUUUACUAGAUCUCCUAUGUACCUUCGUAUUUUCGCUUUAAUCCCUUCCAUAACCCUCACGUUUGGUUUCCGUUAGAUCUGUGACUUAAUCCGUGUGUUACAUUGUAAGUAUUAUUUAAAAAAACCAAGAUACCCCUACCAACCCUAGCUAAACAAAUCCAAUCCUUCUCUUAUCCCAUAUCCUCUCCACGCGAGCAGCAUCCGCGCGCCGCCGGCCACCGCCCUCCCGUCGCACGAGCCACCGUCCAAGGCAUCCCGCCGUGGGCGCCACCAGACAUCGCCUUCCCAUCGUGCAAGCCAAAACCGUCCUCCCUUCGCAGGGGCACGACCCAGCAUCGCCUAGCUAAUUUGGUUUGUCUAUUGCAGCAUUGUGUAUGGAAUGAAAAGUUAGUUUGGUUCCUGCACUAUUGGGUAUGUAAAUGAAAUUGUGGUGUGUGCAUGAUAUGAACUGUUAUGUAGGACUAUGGAAAUGAAAUUGAUAUGAAGUGCUCUGUAUGGAUGCUAUUAUUUUGUAUGAUGCUCCUGAUGCUCUUAUUGAUCCAGGUGUAUUUUGUUUCACAAAUUUCUGUAUGGAUGCUCUUCUCAUUUCCUUCCUAUCAAUUGGUGCUAUUAAUGGUCCUGAUAUUUUUGUUUGGAUGCUCCUGAUGAUUUGCAAUGGAUUUUCUCCUUUGUCCACGGCAAGUUUUGCUUCAUGUUGAUUGUACCAAUUUCUUGUACAGAGGAAACUGGUGUCACUUUGAUUUUCCUAAUCCUAUUAUUUUUUUUCAAAAAAAAGUUCAAUGUAUUGCAUUUUUUCAAUACUACAAUAAUUUUUUUAUACUCCUUAUUUAGUUUCAUAAAAUACACAUAUUGUGCAAUCAACAUUUUUUCAAUUGUUUUCCAAUCUACCUGCUGCUCCUCCAUCUAUAAGGGUAAUAAUACAUUUGCAACCACAUAUAAUUGGAAAAUGAAGGAAACCUAACGGGAGAGGCAUGAAAGGGAUCAAAGCAUAAUUCAAGGGCACAAAGGCGAUCGAGUAAAAUUCUGUGAUAUGGAAGGGAUUGAUCGAGUAUUAUUAUUGUCGUGCAUAAUCCGGGUCACUGAAUUCCGAUCUAAAGGCUAUGAGAGAUUGAUCAAAUGGCUAUGAGACGCUCAUGAUGUGCACUACAAAAUUUUCCACGGACAAUUUAAAAAUUGCCUUUUAAAUCUGGAGUUCCAUAUUCUAGAAACACUUUUAAAGGUAUUUUAAAUAUCGUCUAGAAUAUUUUUACCUUAGAGAUAGUUUUAGCAUAUUUUAAAGAUAUUUUCUAAGUUUAUCUUGGAGAGACAUUUGUAGGUGCUCUAUGAUUUGUCACAUAUGUAAAGGUAUUUUAACCUCUCUAGACUUUUUAGGAGGCUAAUUAAUCUGCAGUAAGUGAUCCAAUUUAAUUUACACGAAGACUCUAUAAUUUAGUGCCAUGAAUAGAACUGAUAAUAUAUUCAAUAAAGCAAUCAAAAUUGACUUGUCUAUCCUUGCAGUAGCUACCAAAUUAAAAGAUAUCGUUUGAAAUGAAAAAGAAAUUAAGGAUAUAAAAGCAUAAGAUGGAUAAUAACAUGCCAUACAUGAAUCACACGUGAAUAAGUGGAGGUAGACAUUAAAGUGUCUACAUGAAAAAAAAAAAGAUCAAAAUUUUUUUUGGAGUAUGGGAGAGAGGCUGUCUUGGUACUAUUUUAGGGAAAAUACCAUGAGGCUUGAGUAAAUGUAUGUUUUCCUCCCCAAAUAAAUACUAUAUGAAAGGGAAGAUGAAUACCCAAAUAUAUUUUUAUAUUCAACACUUUGUUACAGAAUGACACAAAGAUUUUUUUUUUACAGUAGGAAUUAAUUAAAUCCAACAAUAUUUCUUUACUUUCCCUUUAUUCCACAGAUAAGGUAUAUAUGUUAGACAUUCACCAGAUGAUGAAAUCUCUAGAUCAAGAGGAUAGUCAAUCAGGUUAUUUAGAGCAGUCUGGUGAAGUGGGUAUUUGAGCAAUGGCUCAGGGUCGCAAGGAGCACGAAGGAACAAGAAGUAUAUGUCAAAUUAAGGCUUUAUAUUUUAUUUUCGUGAUGACAAAGAAGACGGAGUACGCCCAUAGUUGUAAUUGCACACAAUUAAUUAGCACAUGCCUAAAUAGAUUAGCAAUGUUAGAGCACCCGCAAUGGUAAAGUAAGGUGCUAUAUAAAAUAUGUACAUCUCAGCAAUAGAUUAGAUUAAUAGUAAAUCACUUUAAUGGUAUGUCUACAUGGGUAUCUAUAGCUCUCUAAUCCAUUGCCUCGUUUUUCUCUAUAGACUAUCUCCAGGUUAGUAGAUAGCUUUACUCUAUCUCUUCAUUUAAUCUCUUCCAAGUAGGAAAAUAUGUUGAUAUGGAUCUCUUAUAGAGAGUCUAUAGAUAACUAUUGUGGGUGCCCUUAGAGAUAUAUCACUGCAAACCUCACAAAGUUCUCGUUAUAUUCAUACACUCAUAACUUUCAUAAAUGCGUGUUAAAUUAACAGUCGCACCUUUGUAAUGGGGCUUCUUCCCCUAGCAGCGGAGUGGAUCAUUACCUUCAAAUCUGAUUUUGCUUCCUUGAUCCGCGGAUGGUGAAGUUCCCAACCUCAUAGUAUUCUUCCCAAGAUCGAUCUCAUUGUAGAGUGCAUGGAGAUGUUGCUUAUCAACUUCUUAUGGAGAGCAAAAUGUAGAUCACAAAGGUAGCAUAGCUUGCUAAUUAAGCAGUAAGCACAUGGAGCACGGGUUGGUGUGGAUAUCACAAGCUUCGUUUGCGUUUCGAAUUGAACAUUUUAUUACUCGAGAAUACAAUCCUCUCAUCUGAUUAAUAUAUAAAUCUAUUUUCAUUAGAAAAAUCCAUUCGUCUCUGUCAGAUAAUCAAGCAUUAAAGUCCAUUCGAGUAUAGCAUGCAUCAUCCCUCUAAAAUAUCCAUAUAAGUCAACGUGACGGGCAGCUGUUUAGUUGUGAUGAUCCUCUUCUUUAGACUCUCUGCACCGCCUACACUAGAUUCAUCGAACCUGGACGCAUUUUGACUUUACGUACGUCUCUAUCCUUGUUCCACUGCUCAUCUUCUUCUUCCUCUAUCUUUUAUAAAUUGUGAAGGAACUGUCACCUCCUGAGUCCUGACCCACAAUUGCGUCCACAUUCCAAACCACUCUCCGCCACCCAAUCUGGAAGAUAUAGUAGUGCCACAUUGGUGGGCCCAGACAAUCAAAAAAGAAAAGCCAACAGAAAAAGUUCUCAAGCUGAGCGAAAGUGCUCGAGAGGAACAUCAUAGUAAGAAAAAGGAACCCUUUGUUCUUUACGAUUUGUUUGUUUCUCUUCGUUUAGUUUAAUUUUGUUACAGCUGCAAUGCAAAAAGCCAGGUGAAGCUACGACCUUGAGUUCUUCAUUGUAGCCUCUUUUCCCCUGGUUCCAUAUCUGAACUUUCCUGCUCUUUGGGUAUUUGUAUUUUGCUUCAGGUUUCGAUAUCUACCUAGCUAGGAGUAGUUGUGUUUUGGGGAUGCCAAACAAAAUUAACAAUUGCAUUCUUUUUCCUUUUUGUUCAACCAGCCAUUUGUAUUGGCAAAGUCUCGUGCCAGUGCCGAUACAGAUUUAUAGUUAAAGACAGAUAUAUUUUGGGAUGGAGGAGUAACUAUAUAUCUGUGGGCUCUAUCGAUCACAUUUGUCGAACUAGAUGCAAGAUAUGCAACUGGUGAAAUAAUUGCUGAACCUUGUUUAUUUUAGGUUUGUUGGAAUGAACUGGUAGUCACCUCCUUCCUACAAAUCUCUUCUUGGUCAGCUCGGAUACACACACUUGUGGGUAUAACCUGCGAUGGGUUGACGCGUCCACAGCAUUAUGCAAGAUCACUCGGUGUUUUUCAGGAUAAGAACAGUUACUGCUUCGAUCUUGACAGAACAGUGCCCAGAGAAUGCAUAUGCUAUGAAACAAUAGAGUACUGGAGUAGUACAUUUGGGACAUUUGGCAUGGAAAGAUUAGAGAGAGGAAAGGCCCAAUAUGCGCUAGGGCUCCAAUAAUUUCUAAGCAAGUGAUGAGAGCCAUCAAUGGUGCCGAGAAUCUAUUGGCUGGUAGCACUUUAGAACCAUCCACUAUGUUGCCUCAUAGCAUACGCACGUUGGGAUCUUAUUGUUCAGUAAUAAUCAGUGUUCGGUAACCUACCAUUAACCAUUAGGCUCCCUGCCUUGCGUGUAGCUGCUGGCCUAGCUUGACCAUUGGAUCAAGUUGAUGCAAUUGACAGCAAAAGAUUUGCAAAACUAGUACUUCCAUAUAGUUAUUUAAUUAGUCGACCGUAUGGAGUAUGAGCUUGCACUUCUGCGGAUAAUGUUCAGAAUUAGAGUUAACAACUACAUAUGCAUGGCAUGCUUCCCAUUAGAGCAAGUAUAAUAGUGAGCUAUAAACUUACUAUAAUCUUAGGUGGAGGAGAGAGAUAGUGAAAAAUCAAGGGUGUUGGCUCUCAUGCAAGAGUUAGCUUAUCACAAACUUUAAGACAAAUACAUUACAUGUAUAAGUGAGAGAUAGAGAGAAGAAAAUAAAAUUAUAGCCAACCUUAUAGCUAAUCUAUUAUAUAUGUUGAUUUUAAGAUGAGCUAAUAGUAGGAAGUGAGCUAUACUAUUAUCCUUGCUCUUAUUGAACCUGAUAUGGGUUUGUCCAGUUUCAUAGCAAGUUGAUUCUUUUUAGGAAACGGAGGAAAUACCAUUUAUGAUCUUAUGAAAUCUGUGGACGUCCUUAACGAGUUAAACUUGGUCAGUUGUUUUUAGGCUGGGGUUAUGUGUUGUUGUUAUCUAUUAAUUUCAAGCAAUUGGUUUUCAUCUGUCAACGAUUGUCAUUGUCAGUAAGGGAAGGUAUGUUUUAUGGUAAUUUGCCUAUAUGAAAAUGUACACGUCCUUUUCUCGUGAUGCUAAAACUUUAGAGGCAUUUCAUCUCAAAACUUUGGAGUUUUUAGAGGAAUCCAUGGUACUACAGAAUUUGGACAUUCUGAACGUGACAGCAUGCCGUCAGAAAAUUUGUAAAUUUGUAGUACUCUCUUGAUCAACUAGCCGAAGAUGACUACAUAUAUAUGCCGGUAUACAAGCUUAGAAAGAUUACUGCGGAAUAAAAUGGCAAUUAAUUAAGAUCUGAUUUUGCCAAGUUAAUGUGAACCAUGGAAAGUGCCUGAAAGGCUACAACCUCCCAGAAAUGCUUUUGCAAAUUGUCCAAUGGACUUCUGAAUCUCCCAGACUUUAUGGCAUCAACAUAAAUUCAUUUUCAAUGUUAGAAUUCAAGUCUUAUCCCCCUGUCCGUAGUUUGGAAUGUUAACUCAAUGAGGCAGGUCAUUGUUAGCAGUGUGGUUCUCUUCCUCCCAAUCUCCAUACAGGGGUAUAAAGUGGAUUCUCCUCCUUUCUCUGAUGAAUUGAUGAAAUAAUUUCGUGAACUUAGUUCAUAUAUGGUGCAAUGAGCCUUCUUUUGGUCCCAAUGUUGGAAUAGGAUGUCAAGAAUCAGUUUCUUACUGUUAAAAAUAUAUUUAGGGUUGGUAACCCAAUCCAAUGCAUGGCUUUCUUACAAUUUUUUUUUUUUUUGCUAAAACUCUUAUGCUUUCUGAUAUUUCAUUUAUGCACUACACUCCAGAUCAGAUAUAUCUUUCUAUAAAUAAACUCUCAGACAAUAAGUUUGAGUACUAACAUAAUAACCAUGAGAAAGAGCUCUGUUGAAAAAUGCAAUCUAAAAGCAAAUGACUCUGCGGUGAAAAGAAAAAAAAAAAGGGAGGGCGGGGGGCAAAUGACUAGUCAGGGAGGGUGAUUGAAACACAAAAUUUUAUGCUGAUGGCUGCUGAACCAAUCAAUGAUGUUCUUGGUCAGAAAACUGGCAACAUGCAUUCAUAAUGGUGCUGAAAUUUGACGAAGUAUUUACACAAACUAUAAGUUAUACUACUUACAUUAAAAUCAUUAUUUAAGCCCACUAUUAUAAAUUUUCCCUACAUUUUUUUACAACACAUACACGUAUACAGCCGAGCAAGGAAAAAAAAUAUUUCCUAGCAUUAUUUAUUGCUUUUUUAAUCUGCCAAUUUUUCAACGGUUGUUAUGCAUGCGACAUGAUUUAGUUGGAAUUUGCAAGUACAUGGCGUACGUUCAGCAAAUGAUGAGCUGUGGGAAUAAGGUAUUACAUUAGGUAGGGGUUUCCUGAGAUGUUGUUGAAUCUAGAGCAUUUUUCGGCUCAGAUUCACAACUACAAGCUUAUCUUAAACCUUAUUGAAAAAUAGAGGUUUGACCUUGAUCGUAGCUUGAGAUCCUCUGCGCAUAUAUAAUGGACUUCCGGUAGCUUCUGGACAGUGAAAUUAACAAGGCAGGCCUUCGACUGUGGGCUGUGGGCUGAGUGCGACUUCUAGGCUUUCGUUGUGUAGGUUUUGUUUCUUUCUUCUUUUUUCGAAAAGAGAGGUUUCUUUCUUGUGUUCAUUGCUUUUUUAUGCUCAAUGCUGUCUGUUUUAUCAGAAACUAACAGAUGAAUAUAAUAUUUUUGCUGCUUCUUGUUAGUAGUACUAGUACAUACAUAUAGAUUUCUUCCCUGCGUUGUAAAUGCAAAUGUUUCAGAUAUUUUGGUUCUCCGUACUGCAAAAGUUUUUUUUUUCUUCACUGUCGACCAUGCAUGCGUUGAUGCAUGCAGGUGCUUUGGCAGUACUGCUGGAUUGAAUUAAUGGAUCAAGACUGAAUUUAUCUGUAAAUAAUUAGUUCAUCGUAAUAAGGUUGAUGUGUUUGUGCUUACCUGCUUCAGUACUGCGCUUCAUGUGCAGAUAGGUUCGCCUUCAGCACCUUGCCGGUGAAUAACGCCGGCAAUGCCGCGAGCCGUGUCCGACGGGGGCGAGGCCAUCGACGCCGACAUCGCCAGCCGGACGUCAUCGCACAGCCACAUGGACGGCGGCCAUCAUCAUCAUCAUCACGGCCACAAGGUCGAGUUCCCACCGAAGAAGAAGCUCAUCGACGAGUUCACCGACGCCGUGAAGGAGACGUUCUUCGCCGACGACCCGUUGCGGCAGUACAAGGACCAGCCGAUGUCAAAGAAGGUGUUGAUCAGCCUGCAAAACUUCUUCCCGGUGCUGGACUGGGGCCGGCACUACACCUUCCGCAAGUUCAGGGGCGACCUCGUCUCCGGCCUCACCAUUGCCAGCCUCUGCAUACCCCAGGUUUGUGCCUGACGAUCAAACACCAUCUUGCACGCACAGCAGCGACCUGAAUAGCACAGCUCCUGCAUGAAAAUUGCAUACAAUCUUCGUCAUCAACCCUGACAUUGCAACACUUCAUCCAGGACAUCGGUUAUGCGAAGCUUGCUGGCCUAUUACCAAAUUAUGGACUGUGUAAGUGCACAGAAUUCACUUACUAGUAUUUGUAUAGGGUGUGCUCGAGUGAUAGUCCAGCCAGUGGUCUAACGGAAAUCUGCUGAUUUUUCAGACAGCAGCUUCGUACCGCCUUUGAUAUACGCGAUGAUGGGAAGUUCCAGGGAUAUAGCCAUUGGUCCAGUGGCCGUCGUUUCGCUGCUGCUUGGCACUCUCCUCCAGAAUGAGUUUGAUCCCAAGAAGAAUCAGGAAGAGUACACCCGGCUGGCCUUCACUGCAACGUUCUUCGCUGGGGUCACCCAGGCAGCGCUCGGAUUCCUCAGGUGAGUGGCUACCUGCAAAGUGAUCAUUGUUAAGCAGUCAGUUCUUAGAUAUGCAGUUCUGCCCUCUUGGGUUCUUAGAGUGGACAGUUUACCAUAGAGUGAGAUUGUACUCUGCUGCAGGCUAGGGUUUAUCAUAGAGUUCUUGUCCCAUGCUGCCAUCGUUGGAUUCAUGGCGGGAGCGGCCAUCACCAUUGCCCUUCAGCAGCUUAAAGGCUUCCUUGGAAUUGCAAACUUCACCAAGAAGACUGACAUCAUCUCGGUCAUGAAAUCAGUCUGGGGAAAUGUUCACCAUGGGGUAGGACAAAAUAAUAUCAUUCCUUUAAGAACUUAUUGCUUCUUCAUCAUUCUUUGAUGGAAACCAGUAUUGGGUACAACUGAUGCUAGCUUGGUUGCUGCUGCAGUGGAACUGGCAGACGAUAUUGAUCGGAGCAUCCUUCCUGGCAUUCCUCCUGGUUGCAAAAUACAUUGUAAGAUAAACUAUACUAAAUGUUCAGAUUUUGAUCUUGGAUAUCCUUGUUAGGGAAAACGUUUACUGGUUCUCAUAAUCACAGUUUCAUUUGGGCAUUUCAGGCAAAGAAGAAUAAGAAACUCUUUUGGGUGGCUGCAAUUGCACCACUCACUUCGGUGAUCAUAUCCACCCUUUUUGUCUAUAUCACUCGAGCAGACAAGCAUGGUGUCGUGAUUGUAAGUCAAUCUUGACAGCUCGUAACCCUUUCCAUUAGGAAAAGAAACAAAAUUAUGAAACAAAUCAAAGCUAAUAUGAAGUAUGUUACUGAUUAAUUGCAGGUCAAGUACAUAAAGAAAGGCAUCAAUCCACCUUCAGCUAGUCUCAUAUACUUCAGUGGCCCAAACCUGAUGAAAGGAUUCAGAAUAGGAGUAAUAGCUGGCAUGAUAGGCCUAACAGUAAUGCAAACUUCACCAUCUUAAAGAUUAAAAAUUUGUUGCAUGGAAAGGUACUAUUCACAAGACAGUGCAGUGUUCACUGAUCAAUUGCUGCUAACUUUAUCAGGAAGCAAUUGCAAUAGGAAGAACAUUCGCUGGCCUGAAGGACUACAAGAUUGAUGGAAACAAGGAAAUGGUUGCUCUAGGAACAAUGAACAUUGUUGGUUCAAUGACUUCUUGCUACGUAGCUACAGGUAACCGUUAAUUCAGCCAAAAAAAAUUAGACCAAGUAAUUCAGCCAAAAUAACUUAUAGCCCAUACAUAUAUACCAUUCUCGUGACCCUUUUUUUUCCCUUAUGUACAGGUUCUUUCUCGCGGUCAGCAGUCAAUUACAUGGCUGGCUGCCAAACAGCGGUAUCCAAUAUUGUUAUGUCAAUUGUAGUACUGCUCACACUGGAGCUGAUUACUCCAUUGUUCAAGUAUACGCCCAAUGCCAUCCUUUCUUCCAUCAUCAUAUCAGCAGUGCUUGGCUUAGUCGACUACCACACAGCAUACCUUAUCUGGAAGGUUGAUAAACUUGACUUUCUGGCAUGCUUAGGAGCAUUCUUUGGCGUCAUAUUUUCAUCAGUGGAGUAUGGUCUGCUAAUUGCGGUGCGGUUUGCAAUCAACUCUGUCCUAUACUUACAAUUAAGCUCCUUGUAACAGUAAACAUAAGGGCUGAUGGUACUUGAAUUUGUUUUGGAACAGGUUGCGAUCUCACUCGCUAAAAUUCUUCUACAAGUUACACGACCCAGAACAGUUUUGCUUGGUAACCUUCCAAGAACAACAUUAUAUAGGAAUAUCGACCAGUAUCCAGAAGCUACCUUGGUACCAGGAGUGGUAAUAGUUAGGGUGGACUCAGCUAUCUACUUCACAAACUCGAACUAUGUUAAAGACAGGUAUAAGUUCAAAACUGGUGGGUUUUUUUCUCAGUUGCUAGUAUGACUGCAGUGCUAUUUAAUACUCCCUCCAUUUUUAUUUAAAUGAUGUUGGUUAGUCCAAUUUGAACUAAACAACAUCAAAUAAAAAAACAGAGGUAGUAUUAUAAAAUUCUCAGGACGGUUUAUCUCCAGUUAGUUUUAUUUGAUAGAGCUUGUCCAGGAAAUAUGAGAUUAACCAUGCUUUUUAGGUACGCAUCAAUAAUCUGAGUUGACAUUUGCAAGUAGAGAAAAGAAGAGUUGGAAAUAAACUGAGCAAAUACUGUUCAGUUUCUGCUCUGACUCACUUUAUUUUAUUACGAGAUGUUCAUGAAUAAACUACAUCGAUUUGUUAUUAACAUUCAUGUUCAUCCUUUCCUACUGAUUACUAUUCUUUGGGUGGGACUUUAAAUCUGCUACUGAAUUCAGAAAUCAACUCUACCUAAAAAACGUAAGACUACAUGUGCAAGUGCCUUGUGCAUUUCGCAUUAUUCAAUGUUUCAUAUUAUCUGAUUUCAGAAUCCUGAGGUGGCUGAGGGACGAGGAAGAACGUCAGCAGGAACAGAAGCUACAGAAAACUGAGUUUCUGAUUGUUGAGCUAUCUCGUAAGGGCAUAGUGUAUUUAUUUCUGCAAAUAAUAGUUGAGAUCACUACUGAUAUGGAGUUAUUGGCUAACAAACUGAUCUAAUUCUUCAACAGCGGUAAUUGACAUUGAUACAAGUGGAAUCCAUGCCUUGGAGGAUCUAUUUAGAGCACUUGAAAAGCGCAAAAUCCAGGUAAAACACCAAAACUAGUGUCAACCAGUGUAAAGAUUUUACAGCCAUUAGCACUGAUCCUUGUACAGUAAUACUGUUCAUAUAAGAAAUCCUUAGUUAAGGUAGUAAUAUUAAAAUCCACGUGCUUGACUUACAGCUGAUUCUAGCCAAUCCGGGGCCAGCUGUGAUCCUGAAGCUCCGAUCAGCGAAAUUCACGGAUCUCAUCGGUGAAGACAAGAUAUUCCUGACUGUCGGGGACGCAGUGAAGAAAUUUGCUCCUAAGGCAGUGGAGAAUGUCUGAAGAAACAGGCAUAGUACAGAGAAGUUAUUUUCAUUCUUUUGCAAGCUCCAUGUUUGCAGGUGUGAUUUAUAGAGCAGAGCAGCACAGGAAGUGCAUAACAUAGUUUUUCAAAAAGGUAAAAUAAAGGUGGUGUGCCGGAGUUGGAGCGCAUCAGGUUUGCAAGAUAUGGUUGGAGAAAAAAGCAGAUGGUGCCCGUUGCAUAUCUACUUCAGUGGCUGUGAAUUGUGAUUAGUAUGUUGGCAAGCACUUUGGGUGAAAGUUUGAUGGAUAAGAUAAGAAAAGAUAGUCAUUUGCUUAAGCUGUCAGUGUGUAUCUCCAUCUGGUUGUAAUUACCCCCUUUCUUUCUACUUGAUCAAGCGUACAAAUUACAAUGAGGUUUUACUUUUUGACGACCAAUGUUGUCUAUAGCGUCCAUCCAAUAUACAUGCUUUCAGAAUUUUUUUUCUCUUUCCCCUUACGAAUCUUGUGCUGCAAAUCUGCAAUGCGUGUGGGCAAUCACUCCCAAAUAGUCGACAAGCACAAUUGUAUAGUACAGUAUAGCAUAAUAAUAAUCCCUAAUAAUUAAUAUAGCGAUGUUCUUUGCACUACCAGUUCAUUAGUCAAUGGGCGAUGAAGCAUAGGGAUUAGGGACACGUACGCUCGCUUUGCCCGGCCGGAUUUGGAUUAGCCGAGCGGCUAACCGCCGGCCGCCGCGACGGAGCGAAGGUCCCGCCGCCAUGCCGCAGCCAAGUAAGUAGCAGCACUCCAGCGGCGCUUUCUCGCCCGCCGACGUGCGCCGUACCGCCGGUAGCGGCGCCCGCCCCCACCCGCCGAGGCGCCGGCCGCGCUCGGCACCGCGCCGCCGCCACCGCCACUGCUUUGCUUGGGGUGGCGGCGCACCGUGGACGACGACGACGAUGGCGCCCGCGCCGCAGCACAUCAACGGCGGCGGUUUGGUCAGGCUAGCGACGGGCCCAAUCCUUCAUGGGCCUCAUUUCAAGAUUUGGACCGGCCCACUCCUCUGCAACGUCCUCUACUCCUCAGGAGCCAGAAUUGAGGCCCAUCCUAACCAGGGCUCGCUAAUUGCUAUAGGCGCCCGCGCGCGCCGGGAAUGAAAAACUACAAUGAUUACCCAAAAUCAAAUUUUAUUUUUUGGACUUAAUAACAAAAAUCAAGUUUUCACUAUAUUUGAUUUUCUUUUUCUUAAUACCCAAAAUCAUAUAGUGUUUUUAGACUAAAAAAUAUCCGUGCAUUACAACCUACUCCCUCCGUCCCAUAAUAUAAGGGAUUUGGGGUGGAUGUCAUCCACCCCAAAUCCCUUAUAUUGUGGGACGGAGGGAGUACCCAUAAUUAUAUAAGUCUAUAUGAUUUAAGAAGUAAAGCAUGGGUCGAGUAUAAAACACUAUAUUCAACUAGUUUUCUUAACCAAGUACAUUUUUCUGGUUUUUAAGAAGACUGUUUUUCCUUUUUCUUUUUAAUAGGGCUAUGGUGGCGAUGGGUGAGGAUCAUCAACCAUAAUAUCACUACCAUUAUAGCACUUGAUAUGUAUCACCUUUCUAUUACCCCAUACAUUAGUAUCUGUAAUUGUAAUAUUAUUAUGGUGAAAGAUGUGAAUCGGUUGUGGUAUGGGGAAGGAGUGGAUGGAUAGCUUGGGAGACUUCAAUUGAGAGGAAGUGGAUGGACGGCGCAGCUAUUUAAACAGUACUUUCUUCGUCUUAAAAUGUUGCUACCUAGGAUGAGAUUUGACCCAUCCUAAAACAACAAAUCUAGACAGUAUUUGUUGUCCUAGAUUGGUCAAAUCCCAUCCUAGAUAACAAUAUUUUGGGAUGGAGGUAGUAGAAUAAUAGAUAGGCCUAUCACUGCAUCAUACGGCCGUUACCUGCUCCUUAGAAACUUCAGAGAAGCAAAUACCCCUUUUCUGUUCAAGUUCUCUGCUUACAUAAUUAAUACUACUAGUAAAUAGUAAUGCCGAUUAUCAGCUGAGUCAAUGACAGGAACCGGGUUUGCUCCAUAAGUACUAUAAAUAAGACUAACCAGACUUGUUUAGUUAUCUCUGAAAAAUGAAUUUCUUCAGUUUUCUGCAAUGUCAACUGGGAAAAGAAACGUUGAAAUGGGAAGGCAAAGAAAUGGGGGGAAGGACGAAAGGGACAGAUGAACUGCUGAGAUUUCAGUGGAGAUUUGAUCCUGGAUUUAAAUGCAAUAUCCGAUUAAUCUAGACCUAUCACCAACUGAGAAGCAGCUUGCAUAACUCAGGAGCAGGCUGGAAGGAGUGAGAGCUAAACUGAUAUAUCGCCUGGUAAAGAACUAAACAAAUCAUGCAUUGUGUGCAGAAUAGCUCAAUCCUAUCAGAAUACUACCAACAGGGCAUAGACUUGACUUCAAGUUCCAGUUCCAGAUCACACGGCUUUUCUUACAUUUUAUCAUUUAAUUUUUAGAAUUUUUGCAUUUAAUUUUGAUCAUUGUUGAUGGUUCUAGUUAGAUUGCUUGCCUCUGAAAGUCACAUAUGGCAAAGUCAUACUAAUUGAUAUUAUAAUUCUCUUCCACCUUACUCCUUUUUAUUCUCAAAGUGCGGAUGUAAUUCUGCCGCCUCUUCACGAAUGUUCGCAUUAAGAUGCUGAGAGUUAACAAAUGCAAUUAUUUUGAGGCCUCUCUAAUUUUAAGUUUUACAUAUUGGUUGUUAAAUGAAUUUGACAAAAGAGUUAUGUCUCUUUUUUAGGGUGAAUAGCUAAUACGGUCAUUGAAGUUUCGCUUUUGGCUCAGUAAUUUAGUCCUCGAUGUUUCAUAUCGUCUAAACAAAUCCUCCAAAUUAAUUAUUUAGGCUAAUAUAGUCCUUGGACUCACAAAAAAUACCACGUGAGUAUGCCAAGUCAUCCUCGCAUGCAGCGUAUGAAUGAAAUGACAAUUCUACCCUUAUAUACCAUAUAGAAAUGAAAGAGAAGACACAAACAGAAAAAAUAACAGGCCAGCCUAGGCCUAACAUUGUUGCGGAUGGGUGGCCGACAAAGGAAUUUACACGAUCAGUGCUUGGCUGCAGCAAUCGUAAGUGACAAUUCUAAAACGAUCAUACACGUGUGAAACAUUUAUCUUCUUUUUUCUUUCUUUACUAUAUGGUAUAUAAGGGUAGAGUUGUCAUUUCAUUCAUACCGCUGCAUGCGAUGAUGACUUGUCAUGCUCACGUGGCACUUUUUUUGUCCAAGGACUAUAUUAAUCCAAAUGAUUAAUUCGGAGGACUUGUUUGGACGAUUUAAAACCUCAAAGGCUAAACUGGGCCCGAAGCGAAACUUUAGGAACCAUAUUAGCUAUUCACCCUCUUUUUUAAUUAAAAAGGGGGGGGACCUUCAUGUUUGGUGUAUCAAUCGUUGCAUGUCUUUAAAAAGGAAAAUAUGUAGACUAUUGCCAAAUAAGAAGAUGUGAAAUCCAUUGUAAAAAAGAUUAUGUGCCUGUCACGUAUCCCAAAACCAUUCAUAAGAAAAAAAGAACUCUCUGAAUGCAAAUUGAACCAGUUCUAACAUUGAAAAUGAAUAGGAUUGAAGUUUAGGGUGAAAAUUAAACUGUAAUGAGAGUUGAGUUGAGGAAGCAAAGAACAAUCUUUCUAAAAACAGAGCUUCUCAUCACCAUUUUUCAUAUGCAUGCAUGUGUGGCUAUCCUUUUUCUCUUUGUUGCAUUAAAAUAUUGGAGGCAUGGCGUGUACUCCUUCUGUCAAAAAAAAAAAAGCAACCUAGAUAAGUCUAGAUUCGUUAUCCUAGGUUACAUCAAAUCCUUGCCUAGUUUGUCUUUUUUUUUUUAUAGAGGGAGUAUGCCGCUGAAAGCUUUAAAAAACUAUAGGCACGACAACACAAAAGUCAAUUUUGCUAAAGUUUUAAGCUGCAACCGAGGUUUCUAAGUUCAUAACUCAGUCUGUUCCGUCUGUUGUCUAUGUCUUUAACUGUUGAAACGGCCAGCUUUCCUAUCCAGAGUAUCCUUUUUGGUUUCUGAAGACAAACUCCAUGUAACGCAUAGAAAUUAAUCAUUUCAUAAAAUACAUAUACUUUAACCAAAUUAUUAUAAAACUAUAAAUUUAAGAUGAUACAUCAUAAAACUAUAAAUUUAAGAUGAUAUAUAUCAUAAAACUACAGAUUUAACAAUAAAUUUGUCACAGAACUAUAAUUUUAAGGCUAAAUAUCGUAAAAGUAUAAAUUUAAUUAAUUAUCACAAAACUACAAAUUCUGAUGUUUAAAUUCUUAGCAUUAAUGUUUUAUUUGAGUUUAAACGUCCAAGUUUUGUGAUCAAAUUGGUGCUAAACUCAUAGUUUUGUGAAAACUUUGUUAUUAAAUAUUUAAUUUUACGAUACUCCAUCUUAAAUCUAUAAUUUUGUGAUAAAUUUGAUGUUAAAUCUGUAGUUACAUGAUACAUAAUCUUAAUAUCUAUCGUUUCGCAAUAGUUUGGUUAAUAUAUGAAAUUAAAGCAUAUUUCGACAACCGUGACAACUUAAUAUAGAUUCAAUCAUAUAUGUAUUGUUAUAAUCUGAACCCGACAUAAUCAACAGUGUGGAUUCUUGUUUCAUUUUAACAAGGUAAUGUUUCGCCAUUGAGAGAAAAUGGUCUAGCUUCAUCCUCUUGUUUGAAAAAUAUGACUACCAACUUUCUUGCGUAAUUAUGCCACUAGAUACUAAUAAAUGUUCAUAUUGGAAUAAAGGAAUAAUAUGUUCAAGCCUAUGGAAUUAUUUUGUACUACUAACUUGGUCCUAUACUCCUAUUAAUUUCUAACCGGGUGAUUGACCUUGAUCGUAGCUCGAGCACCUCGGUUGCCUUUAUAUGGGCAUUGGCUUCAGCGAUGUGCAAGAAAGCAGAGAGUUUCAUUGGUUGGUUACGCACAAGUGCCUCCGGUAAGCAUCAGUGUCUCACCUCUUUUUUUAAGUAAUAAGGUGCAACGGUGUCUCGAUGUGUAGGAUUUCUUUUGUAUCCUGGUACUUCUUGGCUUUGUAGGAUGUACUUCCUCGUUGAUAGUACAAUGAUACUUGAUACGUUUGCAUGAUAUUAAUUCUCGUUAAUAGUACUACAUGUUUGUAUGGGGGACGCCUAAUGGGCGAUCGAUCGCCGUGGGGAUGGGGCAGCGAUCAGAUUCGCUCUCCACCUCCCCCCUCCCUCCCUCCACCUGGUUUCCUUUUUUGGCACCGCAUUACUUUCAUAUUUUAGUAAAUUUAUACACCUAAAGUUUACACAUCUAAAGUUUAGAGACCAAAAGUUUAUAAGUCAAAAGUUUAUAUAUCCGAUUCAAAUUUGAAUUCGAAUUCAAAUAUUUUUUAUAUAUAGUAUUUCUAUACAUCUAAAGUUUAUACACCUAAAGUUUAUAGACCUAAAGUUCAUAAGUCAAAAGUUUAUAUACUUGUUUCAAAUUUGAAUUUGAAUUCAAAUAUCCGAUUCAAAUUUGAAUCUGAAUUCAAAUAUUUUUCAUAUAUAGUAUUUCUAUACAUCUAAAGUUUAUAGACCUAAAGUUUAUAUACCCGAUUCAAAUUUGAAUUUGAAUUAUAUCUGAUUCAAAUUUGAAUUUGAAUUCAAAUAUUUUCUAUAUAUAGUAUUUCUAUACAUCUAAAGUUUAUACACCUAAAGUUUAUAGACCCAAAGUUUAUAAGUCAAAAGUUUACAUAUCCGAUUCAAAUUUGAAUUUGAAUUCAAAUUUUUUAUAUAUAAUAUUUCUAUACAUAAAUUUUUCUAACUUCUGUUUUUUAAAAAAAUUUGUGUGGUCUACCGUAGUAAAAAGAGGGGAAGGGGAGGAGGAAGGGGGAGAAGAGGAAGGAGUACAUAUAGUAGUAUAGGGGAGAGGGUGGGCGGGUGAUCGCUGGGCGGGUGGGUGAGCGAUCACCCACCCAUUAGCAUUUCCGGUUUGUAUGUGCGUGUUCCCCUGUAUCUUUUCCCUUUAGUGUUCAAGGAACUAUAACCAUAUUUCAGAUGUUCUUGGUCUUCUUAAUAUAUGUCACCGUGACUCAAUCGAGCUAGGUAGAGGAGGUAAACAAAGUAAACUGUUUGGGAAGUUCAGCGCGUAAAUUUUCAGACUUUGGUGAAUGUUCAGGGUGUAACAUAGCUUUAUCCACAAGUUAAUAUGGUCUUUAUGGUUCAACCACUAUAUACUCAUCAAAGAGUAAUCAUGAUAACGUCGCUUAUGGCCAAAAGGGGGGGGGGGGGGGGGGUUUAUUCAAUUAUGAAAUUUUACUCCCCUAUGUACUAAUUGAGCUUUGCUGAUUCAGCAGUGCUCAUCUACGUGGACACCACAAAUCAAUAGAACCUUUUCCCAUUUGGACGCAAAACCAACCUAAGGCCAUGCAAAUCAUCAUGUCUCCAUUCAUCGUACUGAUGCAAACUUGUUUCCACUCUGCUUUGCCUCGAAUAUCUCGGCAGGUAGACGUCAGGUAUCUUCAGUUCUGCACGCCUAUUUAACCGCCGAAUUCUGCAACCAACGCCGGCA
Molecule: long non-coding RNA, 73737 nt
Filed under: Oryza sativa (Asian cultivated rice)
Lineage: Eukaryota; Viridiplantae; Streptophyta; Magnoliopsida; Poales; Poaceae
Description: long non-coding RNA (OSAT_LNC000507)
Source: RNAcentral